RNAcentral lists this long non-coding RNA (44333 nucleotides) under Gossypium barbadense (sea-island cotton). RNAcentral describes it as "long non-coding RNA (GBAR_LNC020046)". Lineage: Eukaryota; Viridiplantae; Streptophyta; Magnoliopsida; Malvales; Malvaceae. The record is from RNAcentral.
UUAAACAGUUUAUGUGGUUGUACCUGAAGUUUGAGUUCCAUUUGACAAACGUUAACUUAACAACGAAGAUUCGACUACACUAUGCCCCCGAUGAGCGAAGGUUUGUUUUAAAUGAAAAAGGUAAAAUCGACCCUUAUUCUUCUGCUUAUCGAGGUAAGAUGCUUGAAACCUUUGAAACACUUUUGUACUCCUCGGAUAGUGAUAAAGAUCGUGUUGAUGAACACUUAGAUCGAAACGUGCUUGACUGUCCUAUUUUAUUUAUUGAUGAUCUAUCUAUUUUGAUGGUUGAUAAAAAGAUUCUUGUUUUUGAUAAUGCAUGUGUGAGUGAAUCUAUAGACCGUCGAUUAAUGCAUGGUAUGAUUAUGCAACUCUGUGAACCAUGUGAAUCUUUUCAAAUACCUACUUGUGACGAUUAUGUUUACCAUUUGAUUUAUUACUCGCAAUUUAUUCAUGGUUUGUGGGAACAAUGUGAGACGACUGAAUGCCUUAAAACAUGUCCAUCUUUGUUUCAAAUAUUUGACGAGGCAGUGGUGAGUAAAUUAGAUUGUUUGCAUGGUAAUCUGAAUCUGUCCAUUCACAUGCGUUAUACCUGUUCUGUUAUGCUUAUGAUUGGACUACAAGCUUGUUUCCGUUGCUAUUUACUAUCUCAUGGCUAUUCUUUUCAGUGGACUCAAUUGCCAUUAGUCCCGUUCGAUAGAGGAAAGUCGAGUUCAUUUGAUUUUUCAGAUUCGAGGACGAAUCUUUUUGAGGAAGGGGGGAAUGAUACGAGUCACAAAAGCCCAAAUUCUUGAAGGCGAGGCCCAAUAAGCAAAUUCUCAGCCCAAUCAAGAAAUCCAUCCAUACUUAGUUGAAAAUCAGGCCAAAUUGUCAAAGUGGCCCAAGUUGUAAAGUUUUAUUUUUAUUUUUAUUUAUUUAUUUAUUUAUUUACUUAGUUUAAAUUUUUAUGUCAAUAUUCAGUCCAAGAGUCCCAGAUAAAAUGACCUUUGACCGAAUUUCCAUAUUAAAAUAAUUAGGAGUUUUUUUAUUUUAGUUUUCUAAUUAGAUUAGGACUAGUUAUAAUGCCUAUUUAAAGGCAUGGCUGUCCACCUUGUUAAACACUUAUCAUUAUUAUUAAAAUUUCAGAUUUGUUGAGAGCAGAAUUUUCUUUGAGUUUUCUCCAAGAUUUCUCUCUUGAGUUUUCUUUAGAAGUUGUUUUAACAAUCUUUUUGAUUGUGGGAGCCAUCUUCAACCUUCUUCUUGCCAUUGAUAUUCUUUGGAGGGGAGAUUAGAGCCGUUUGAAGGGAGUUGUGAGAUCUUUCGGGAUUUCAAGGCUUCUUAGGACUUAUCUUUUAAUUUCUUAUUGUCAAUUCUUUCUUUAUUUCUGCUUGUGCCGAAUCUUUAUCUAAUUUAUUUUCUGUUCUUAUUGUGUUUUCAGCCUUUUUCUAUCUUAAGGAAUUAGCCCAAAAAUCCCCAAUUUCUAGGGUUCUUGCCGAUUCAUCCAUACUCUUUUUUGGGAGAAAUUAGAUUGCCGAAAUUUGGGGAAAACUAUCUGGGUGUUCAAUUGGGCAGAAUCGUAAUCUCUUCUAGGGUUUCAAGAUUCUUUAUUAACACUUAUUUCUAUUCUCUAUUUGAUUCUUUACUGUUUUGGGGAUUUUAUUUCAGAUCUGAAAAUUUAAAAAUCUAAUCUUUUAAUUUUCUGUUUCGUUUCAGAUCUAAUUGUUUAGGGUUUUCGUAGGAGUUUCUCGUGACUUGGCAACUCGAUCUUGGUCCGCGCGCAACCCCGUAUCAAAGGCUCAAUAGUCAGCUUCUAGAUGGAGUCCAUUCAGCUGGUCAUUAAUCGAAGGAUGGUGAGCUGAAAUGUCUUGGUAGAUUCAGCCUAGGUGCUUGAAUGGCUUUAAUUGAAGUUCCUUGUUCAGCUGAAUAAUUUAGGAGCUUUAAUUGGCAGCUUGGGUAUUGUAAUGGUCACCCAAGUAUGAAAACGAAUUCAAACUACCUUGUGUGUGUGAAAACAAAAUUUUGGACAGCGUUGUAAUAUGAACGGAAUGUGUAGCAUUAUGAAAACUUUUAAGGCUGCCUUGGAGACUUAAACGGUCAACUUGGGAAAGUCAAUCAGCAGCUUCUUUUGCCCUUGAUGUCCACGAAAAGGCUGCUAGAAUUAGCUGAAUAAUCAGGUCAAUGAAGGGUUCCGUCCAUGCAUUGUACCUACAGCAAUUAAAUACAACCAUUAAUUCAUAGUACAUGCAUAGGUGCUGUCCAAGAUAUGUACACGCAACUACAAAUUAAAGAUAGAUUAAGACAUAUUAAAUUGGCAGCAACUUAGUCAAUAAACCUGCUCAUAAAUUCGGCUGAAUUUAGACAUGAUAAAUCAAAAACAAGACACAUUAAUUAGAUGUAAUGAAACAGGUUUAUUUAUGCUAUGUAAUAUCUAAAACAUAUUAAAAGCAUGCAUGAAACACAUUAAACACAAAUAAUUAAAUUUGUCCAAAUUUAAACAAAUUAAUUACUAACACUUAUUUAAGCUGAACUAAAAUUAAUUACCAACACUUAUUUGAGCUGAACUAAAGUUAAUAAACUAACUCAUUUAAUUUAUUCCAGCAAAUUAAAAAUGCAUGAAAUUAAAUAAAAGCGAAUUAAGCUCAAUGAGCUAGCAUCUAGCCGAAUUGAGCUCCAUUGAGCUAGAACGAGCUAGUUUAGCGUGCAAGAGUUUGUAAAUGAUGCCUAAUAGGCUAAUCCAAGUGCAUUCCUGGGGCGUGGUCGUAUCAUUCCCCCUUCUUCAGAACGACUUGUUCUCAAGUCGAGCCGUUGGUUCACUCGAUCAUAACUCCUUUUACUCAGCUUUCCUCGAUCGAGCGGGACGAAUGGCAAUUGACUCGACUGAAAAGAAUAACCAUGAAUUAGUAAAAAGUAGUGCAAACAAAUUUGCAAUCCGAGCAUAACAAGACAAAUGUAAUGCAUGCGAAUGGACAGAUUCAGAUUACCAUGCAAACAAGCUAAUUUACUUGCCAAUGCCUCAUCAAAUAUUUGAAACAAAAAUGGACAUGUUUUAAGGCAUUCAAACAUCUCAAAUUGUUUACACAAACCAUGAAUAAAUCGCGAGUAAUAAAUCAAAUGGCAAACGUAAUCGUCACAAGUAAGUAUUUGAAAAGGUUCACACGGUUCACAGAGUUGCACAAUCAUACUAUGCAUUAGUCGACGGACUAUAGAUUCACUCACACGUGCAUCAUAAAAAUUAUCAAAAACAAUAAUAUUUUUAUCAACCAUCAAAAAAUAUAGAUCAUCAAUAAGAAAAAUAGGACGGGCAAGCACGUUUCGAUCUAAGUGUUUUACAAAAACUAAAUCAUCAACACGAUCUUUGUCACUAUCCGAGGAGUACAAAAAUGUUUCAAAAGUUUCAAGCAUCUUACCUUCAUAUGCAGAAGAAUAAGGGUCGAUUUUACCUUUUCCAUUUAAUACAAACCUUCUCUCCUUGGGAAUGUAGUCUAGUCGAAGCUUCAUGGUUGAAUUAACCUUGUCGAAAUGAAAUACGAACUUUAGGUACAACCACAGAAAUGGAUUAAGGAAUGAAUUUAAAUUGAAAUCAAAUUUAUCAUACCUCGUUUCCUUAUUCAACAACCAAGUAUCAAAACAAUAGAAAUUGUUCGCACAUAAUCGAUGAUGCUUGAUUUUCCCACAAAAUGUACCAAAAUAGAUUCCGGGUUUAAAAACUUGAUUUUGAUUAUUCAUGCCAAAGUGUAGCAAAGAGUUCAUUAAACAAAACUUGUCAACCCAAAAGGAUUUCUGUGUCCACAGAAACAAAUGUUCAAAUCUCUUUACUUCUUUCAAACUAAAUUUGCAAAAACUCGAGGAUUUCAAACAAAGUAGUAAAGGACUCACAUAAUCACCACAAUUAAUUAAAUUGAGAUGUUUAUAUGAAAAUUCAUUGUUACGCAGAAUCGAGUUUCGCAAUUACCGAUUAAACAUGACUUCACCUUUAAACUUGUCAACGCAAAGAUUUGUUUUGGAAAAGCUCGUCUCACCACCAUUUGAGAUUACAACACUAAUCGAUGAAGGAAAAUCAACCACUUUUUGGCACGGAGCUUUUACAAAGAUGAAGUUUUUGAUAUUAUAUCUACCCACAUUCAAGGAAGAUAGUGGAAAUUCAAGUGCUAGGUGUUCCUUACCUAUCUUACCUUCGGGCUCGUGUGGUUCGAUUUCAAUUUCAUCCUUACCUUUUUCAGUCAUGCAAAAAUGUCGCUCGUCAAGAAGAUAUUGAAGUUGAUAAUCGUCAUAGGGAUUUCUCGGAACCUGAAAAGAAGGAACAGAACAAAACCAAACAUUACGGGGGUUAGUUAAAAUUUUGUUCUCUUUUUCGUGUUCUCGCUCACUAUCUUCAUUUUCUCUCGUUUCUUUUUCAACAUAUUUUUCUUUUUCAAUUUUUUUCUCAAUCUCAAUUGCUUUUUCAAUUUUCUUUUCUUUGUUUCCUUUUUCUUUUUCUUCCUCUUCAUUUUUAUUACAAUGUGUGAUGAUGAUACAAAAGAAUAAAAAAGAUAGUCGUUUGGCUCAAAGCAAGAGAAACUAUUUUUGUAGUCUUCUCGUCCAUUUCUUAGGGAACAAUCCUUCGGGAAGGACUUCUUUGAAGCAUACGAGAAAUAACUUGUGCUUUCUCAUUCGUCAUAUCGAGAAGUCGCAAGCUCAAAGAUUUCUUUUCUUUUUCUCAAAUUCCUUGACGAGUAGGAAUCCCGAUAAGAAUUUCUUAGUGAGCAAUCUUUGGAUAUGCAUCACCAUGAUGAUCUCAACUCCAUUUCUCGACUCAGUAGAGUUUGCUUCUAUUGGGGUUUUUCCUCCACUCGGUCUAAAUGUCUUUUUAAUAGACCUAGCUUCCUUUCAAGCAUUCGGCCCAUCUCGUUCACCAAAUACUGAAAUUCAUCAGCUGAAAAGGUUUCUCGAGACAUGAUUAAGUAAUGACAAGAAAAGUGUUAAAUAAAAUAAAGAAAAUAAAUACCUUACCACAAACCUCACAAGUUCGCUCACAAAGAAAAAAAAUUCACUCACUCUCGUGUUUCAACUCUCUUUUAGGCUUUUGCUUGCUCUAAUGUACUCACCACUCGUGCCUUUUUCCGUUCAUCUCACUCUCGUGAAUUCGUAUUUUGUUUCAAAAAGACUUAUUGCGGCUUAAAGGGUCGGCUUCAAAUGGGUGCAAAGGAUAAUGUCAGGGUGUAUAGGGUAGGCUGAAACAAGGAAAAUAAAAAUCAAAGUAUGUGUGGCAUUUUUUUCUUUUCUUUUUGGGGGUAGAAGCGAUGGUAGAAUGAACGGAUGAUCGAAAAUAAUAAGAGAUGAAAACAAAAUAAAACUCGCAAGACUUUUCACUUCUUUCUUUUUUUAUACUUUUCAUUUUUUUUGAAUUUUCGUAAUUUUUUUCUUUUAACACUUCAAAUACAAUAUAUUGAAUUCAAGAAGAAUAAAAUAUAACUUGAUUUUUUUGAUGAUUUUUUUUUAUUUUUUCAUGUUACGAACCUACUCCGAGCUUGAUACGAACGUCAGUGCUCCACGUUUUAGUAGCUCUGAUACCAAAUGAUGCGAAUCAGCCCGGUUUGAUCGAGUCAUUUCACAUAGUUGCCCGAUCAUCGACGAGGAGUAUCGUACCAAAGGAAUAGUUUGUUUGUAAUUAGCCAAAAUAUGAAGUAAAGUGAUGGUGAUACGGGGUUGCGCGUGGACCAAGAUCGAGUUGCCAAGUCACGAGAAACUCCUAUGAAAGCUCUAGACAAAUCAGAUCUGAAAUCAAAACAAAGAACAAGAUUAAACUAAUCAAUCUAAAAUUAAAUCCCCAAAUUCAAUUAAAGGAGCAGCAAGAAACAAAGAAAUAGAAUAGAUGAAUCAAACGAAAUUGGAAGUAUAGAAAGAUUGCGAAUCAGUCAACAAAUUGAUUCGGCCAAGAAUGGCCAUUUUCCAGCAAUCAAUUGAUUCCCAAAUUGAAAGAAAAUCCAAUCGGCCAAACCCUAGGAAUUGGGGAUUUUUGGGUUCGAAUGGGUGCUGCCAAUAGGAGAACAACUUAAAUGAUGAGAUCUUGAGUUUAAUCAAUGUUGGAAAACAAACAAGAACAGCAAAAUAUUAGAUGAGAAAUUGGCACAAGUAUAAGCAAAGAAAAGUAAAGAAAGAAAUCGAAAAUAGCAAGAAUUAAAGGAUAAGUCCUAAAGAUCCUUGAAAUCCCGAAAGAUUUCACAAAUCUCUUCAAACGGCUCUUCAAACGGCACAAGUAUAAGCAAAGAAAAGUAAAGAAAGAUUUUCUUGCUGUUCGUUCUUCUUUAUUAAUUUUUGCUUGUGCUGAUUUAUUGAUUAACUUGGGAUUAAUUGUUCUUGUUGCGUUUCAGCCAUUCCAAACUUCAAGAUCUGAUUCGGCUUCGUUCUUAGGCAUCAAGAAACGUUCUUCAUUCAUAAUUUCCAGAUUUCUUGCCGCCCAAGUAUUUCUUAUUCUAUUCGAUUUGGGUUUCUUGAUUUGACAAGUUUAGUUCUCUAUUUUCUGUUUUCGUUGCAGCCAAUUUGUUUAUAGAUCUCAUAGGACUUUCCCGUGACUUGACGACUCAAUCUUGGUCCACGCGCAAUCCCCUAUCAGUAGCUCAAUUUCAUUUCGUGGAGCUCCAUUUAGCUCAUUUCCAGCUCCUUCAAGCUCAAUUAGCUCAAACUUAGCUCAAGGAUCUCACUUUUAAUUUUCAUUAAAUUUGCUGGAAUAAAUAAUUUCAGUUGCUGAUUAGUUAAAUAAAUUAAUUAGCUUAAGAUUAAUUAAUUUAAUAAAAUUUGGACAUUUUAAUUAAGUGUUUUAAUUAUGUCUGAAUUCAUUAAUGUGUCUAAUUUUAUUACAUGCUUUAAUUGUGUCCUAAGGGCUGCCGAAUUUAAUGUGCAGGAAUUUUGUGUUAUUUGCUGCCAAUUUAAUGUGUCUAAAAAUGCAUCUAAAUUAUUGAAUGUAUUUGUUGCAGUACAUGCAAUGGAUGGCACAUACGUGUUUGGAGAUUAAUUUGGGAUGAUGUUUGAAGUUUCCUAUGUGACUAUUCAGCCAAAAGGGAUGUUGAUUUAUUUUCCCAAGCUGUCUAUUUGACUGAACAAUUCUUUUCACAUUGCUGGAAGCUUUUGGCUGUUCGAUUUAGAGUGUUCACACAUUGGGGACUCUUCAAGACAGAGUGUUCACACCUUCAUGGUUGUUCAACUCAGCUUAUUAAUAGUCUUGACUUGUGGAGUGCCCAAAACAACCCAUCAAAGACCAUGAACAUUCAGCUGAACAUGCAGCUCAUUUUAAAGCACAUUUAUGCUGGUUGCUGCCCAAAUUGAAUGCUUCUCAAACUCCAACCAGGCCAUUCAUUUUUUCUAGCUAAAUUAAGCCUUUUAGAAGAUCUAUUGACGUUCUCAAUGUAUGGGGAAGCUUCAAGGAAACUUCCUUCAAAAUUCUAGAAUUUUCAAGACCUUUACUUAGCUCUUAAGACUGCCUAUUCGGUUGCCAUGUAAAGCCUAUAAAUUCAGGCUGAAAUUACAUUGUAAAAAAACUUUUGAACCUUAAUGAAUUACUGUCAAUUUGUUGAGAGAAUUCUUCUCUUGAAUUUCGUCCAAAAACAUCGUUGACUUAUCUAACUAGUUAGUGGCGUCAACCCAUUUUUGUUCAAUCGAACUUAUCACGAAAUCGUGUGGCAUUCAUCCUAAAUUAUACCAAGGUUCCUAUCUAUUUAGAUAGUGGGUCGAGGUUUCCCUAUCCAUCUCCUAAACAACUUUAGAACUUAUAAGUUUCGAGUCAACCUUCAAUCGAAGUGUUGGUUCACUCUUGUUCUAAGUUUUUCAUCUUAAUUCCUUAUUCAACGAUUACCUUUCUUCUUUUAAGCCUAUCCUUGACACCCUUAAACUACAUUUAGCCUAAUAUCGAACUUCAUUCCAUCUCAAAUGAUUCUUAUUUGUUUUAACGAUCAGGCAACUAUAUGACUCAGAUUAAUCAACGAGGCCGGGGUGUAUCAUUUGGUAUUAGAGCUAUUUAAAAUGAGAAGAGCGAAUGUUCUAGAAGAGUCAGAGUAAGUAGAUUUGUAAAAAAAUCGUAUAUUAAAAAAAAGGUUGUAUUUAUUUUUAUUUGUAAAUUAGCAUAUUGUAUUGUAGUUUAUAAAAAAAAGAAAAUUCAAAAAAAAUUUUGUUGCAAGUGGUAAAUACUUCUUUUGGUCAUUCCCGAUCAACGAUUUCUUAUUCCCAACACCAUCCACUUUCACGCCACACUUGAUAACCUAAUAUCGUUCUUUUAGCCCACCUACAUCCCUUAUACAGUUACCUUUGCAAACCUCUUGAAACCGACCCUUAAACUAGAAGAUCUAGUCUUACGAAGUUUUAUACGAAAUCACAAGAGAAGAUACAAGAGGAAAAAACACGUGAGUGAGUGUGCACAAUAGAGUGGAGGUAAAAGCCAUUAAAAAGUGUAAACACGAGUGGAGUGUCGAAUUAUUUUCUUUUUUGAGUGAAUUGUGAGUUUUUGUUGUGAGGUUAUAAUUUCAUAUGUCAAGAAGCCCUACGAGAAUCAUGGCGGAAAGGCAACCUAUUCGGAAUGUGCCGAACUUGAAUUUGCAAGCAUUACUACGCGAGGUGGAACGAUUGUUCGAUCAAAAGUUGGAACCGAUUCAAGAUAGACUUGAUCGUGUGGAAGGAAGAGCCUGAUACGAGUCACAAAGGCCCAAUUCAAGCUCAGGAACGUGAUGGGCUCAAAUGACCACAAGGCCCAAUAACGAGGUCAAAGGCCAGACAAAUGCGUUCAAAACCAAAUGGAACCAUUCAAGAAUUUAUUAGAAAGGCCUUAGAUGCGUACACGAAGGAAAAAGAAAAUCAAGAAACCGAAUCUUGGUCCAAUUUUGCUGUUUGGAGUGAUUUCAAGAAUCAAGAAAAUCAAGAUUUCAAAUCUUGAAAAUCUUGGUCCAAGAAACCGAAUCUUGCAACUAAGGCACAUUGGAUCUCUGUUACGAGCAUCAACGAACCAAUUUCGGUAGGAAACGGACUACAAGCCCAAGUUCUUGAAGGCAAGGCCCAACAAGAUGUUCCAAGCCCAAUCCAGAAAGUUAAAUGAGACUUAGUUGAAAAUCAGGCCAAAUUAUCAAAGUAGCCCAAUUUGUAAAAUUUUAAUUCAUUAAAUACUUAGUUUCAUUUUUAGACUUUAUAAAUUAAUUGCUAUGUAAAUAUUCAGUCCAAGAGGCCCAAUUAAAAGCCCUUGGCCGAAUUUCCCUUUAAAAUCAAAUAAUUAGGAGUUUUUUUAGUUUUAGUUUUCUAAUAGGGUUAGGAAAAUAAUAGAAGCCUAUAUAUAUGUAAGGCUUGUCCGGCCAUACACAUCACAAUACACUUGAAAUCAGAUUUUGAUUGCUUGCAAAUUCUCUUGAGUUUUUCUCCAAGAAUUUUCUUUUGAGUUUUCUUUAGAAGUAGUUUUAACAAUCUUUUAGAUUGUGGGAGCCAUCUUCAGCCUUCUUCAUGCCAUUGUUCUUCAUUGGAGGGGAGAUUAGAGCCGUUUGAAGGGGGUUGUCAAAUCUUUAUUGAUUUCAAGGCUUCUUAGGACUUUAUCUUUAUUUUCUUGUUGUUCAAUCUCUUUUUAAUUUCUGCUUGUGUCAAUUUCAUUAUCUAACUUGUUUAAGUUCUCUUAUUGCGUUUCCAGCCCCGUUCAACCUUCAAGAAUUUGAUCGGCACCACCCCUGGACAUCAAGAAACAUUUUGAUUCUCCAAACCCAUCUUUCUUGCCGUCCAAACCCUUCUUUUAUUAUUUUGAUUAUUUUAAUUUCAGAUGUAAUUGAUUCUACAUUGGUGAUACGAACUCGUUUCGUGAAUUGAAUCGAGUCGUUAGUGUCGCCCGAUCGUGAAUUGAGUAGAAUAGAAUCACUUUGGUUUAAAAGAAACAAAAUAGAGUUAAUGGCUUCAAACAAAGGUAAUGAAUAAAAUAGGAAGGAAACAAUAACAAAUUAAUUGGCUAAGACCAAAGAUGAACCAGCAAUAACGAGUUAUUGACCCGAAUCUCAAAAUGGUCUUUAGGUGUUUUUCGGUUAAAGGAAACAGCAAAGGAACCUUGACCCACUAUCAACUAUGAUAGGAACCAAAGGUAUAUUGAACGCCACACCAAAGGUGAUAAGUUCAGCAACACAGAAAAGAUGGACGCCACAAGCUAUGCUUGAUAAGUCAAAUCAAUUCCGUAAGAACAAAGAGAAUUGGAUAGCUCAAAAUUCAAAUAUUUCAUCUAUAUUCAGCAAAAAGUUCUUCUUUCUCUAUGGCUGAUUACAUCUAUUUAUACUGCUAAAACAAGGUAACCGAAUGGUCAAAAAACAUCCACUUAAUGUGCCAUAAAAAACUGAUGUCUUUUCUUAUUCUUUGAACCAAAUAACUCCUUCCAUAAAAUCACCUUAAUUCAGCUGAUUUGAAUGUCUUUAAUGGCUUAGAAAAUGACUCUUGAGUUGUCCUUGGCUAGUUGAAAAGACACCAUCUCUUAACCAGCUCCUUAAUGACAUUCAAAGGCUUGAUUAAUUUCUCUUGAAAGCUCUAAAAACGGCUGGAAGUGGAAGAGUUGCUGUCAAAUUUAAAGGGCAUAAAAUUCUCUUUAAAAACUUCUUUAAUGAUUUUUAAGCUCCCUUUAUAACAUCACCUUUAAUUGUAACUCAAAAGAACUUGAACAGCCACUUAAUUAAAUGUGUAACAGCCUUGAAUUGUAACCACUAUAAGCUAAAAAGUCACCUGCAAUAAACACAUUGAAAUGAGUUUAUUAAACAAAUGAAAACACUUAUGAAUCAUAACAAACAUUAAACUUACUUAAAUAAAUGAACUAAAACAUAUAUGCAAUAAUUAUUCCAGCAACUAGUUUAAUUAAAGAAGCAUAAUUUAAAGAACUUAAUUUAUGCAUCAAUAAAUAAUCCUAGGAACUAGAUCAAUUAAGAAGCAUCUUUAUUUAAUAAAGUUCAAUAACUAACUCAUUUAUUAAAAAUUAAGAUAAGUUAAAUUAAUUGAUCAGCUACUCAUUUAUUAAACUAAAACAAGUUAAUUAAAAGAAAAAAAUUCAGCUUGCAACAAAUUGCAAGUAACGCUUUUUGAACGGUUCGAAGCAAGACUAUCGAAUUCGGCCACUUGCUCUUCCCAAGCUCGUUCCACAUAGCUUGCUAUUGCAUUUCGAAAUCUCUUAGCUCGUGAUCUAGUUAUUGGUCCUCGUGGUAGCUCAAUGGAUUCAGUAGUAAUUUCCCUGGCUAAGGUUGUAUCAAUUGGUCUUGCUGUUUCGUUUCAGAUUUUAUUGUUCUUGUUCGUUUUGACCAUUACCAAAGUUCAAGAUCUAUCUUUUCUCCACAUUUGACAUCAAGAACCAUUCGUUAAUCAUAUUUUUUUCAGAUUUCUUGCCGCCCAAGUACUCUAUUUCCUAUUCUGAUUUGGUUUCUUAAUCACUUGAGUUUAACUUGCUGUAUCGUUUUCUCCAGGUCAUAUUCGGCUUGGAGAGUCAUUCUUGCUAUUUAGAUCUCAUUUCUUGGCCUCUAAGGAACCAUAUUAAUUCGUGUUCUGAUUAUUAGCUAAUUAUCCAUGGUUUUAGGGUUUUCGUUUUAGAUCUGAUACUGAUAAGUUUGAUUUUUUUGUUUUGUUUCAAAUCCGAUUGUCUAAAGAUUUCUAGGAGUUUUCUCGUGGCUUGGCAACUCAAUCUUGGUCCGUGCGCAACCCUCUAUCAUUUGGUAUCAGAUUUUGGGCGUUUUGGGCGUUUUGGGCGUUUUGUAAAAAAAAUUAUUUGAGUAGGUAAAAAUGGUUCGAUUGGUCUGAUAUUUUAUAUGCAUAUUUUUGGCACUGUGAUAGAUUAUUAAAAAAUAUUUCCCACAAAAAAAAUCAGUAGAAAAAGUCAAAAAAAUUGAAAAAGACGAAAUCAAGAAAAAAAAUUAAAAAAUAUACAGUAGGUUGAGUUUAGUUACAAAAAUUUCCAGAUCAAAUAUACAAUAUUUAAGGACAUUUGAUACGGGGUUGCGCGCGGACCAAGAUCGAGUUGCCAAGUCACGAGAAACUCCUACGAAAACCCUAAACAAUUAGAUCUGAAACGAAACAGAAAAUUAAAAGAUUAGAUUUUUGAAUUUUCAGAUCUGAAAUAAAAUCCCCAAAACAGUAAAGAAUCAAAUAGAGAAUAGAAAUAAGUGUUAAUAAGGAAUCUUGAAACCCUAGAAGAGAAUGCGAUUCUGCCCAAUUGAACACCAAGAUAGUUUUCCCCAAAUUUCGACAAUCUAAUUUCACCCAAAAAGAGUAUGGAAAAACCCUAGAAAUUGGGGAUUUUUGGGCUGAUUCCUUAAGAUAGAAAAAGGCUGAAAACACAAUAAGAACAGAAAAUAGAUUAGAUAAUGAUUCAGCACAAGUAGAAAUAAAGAAAGAAUUGACAGUAAGAAAUUAAAAGAUAAGUCCUAAGAAGCCUUGAAAUCUCGAAAGAUCUCACAACUCCCUUCAAACGGCUCUAAUCUCCCCUCCAAAGAAUAUCAAUGGCAAGAAGAAGGUUGAAGAUGGCUCCCACAAUCACAAGAUUGUUAAAACAACUUCUAAAGAAAACUCAAGAGAGAAAUCUUGGAGAAAACUCAAAGAAAAUUCUACUCUCAACAAAUCUGAAAUUUUAAUAAUAAUGAUAAGUGUUUAACAAGGUGGACAGCCAUGCCUUUAAAUAGGCCUUAUAACUAGUCCUAAUCUAAUUAGAAAACUAAAAUAAAAAAAACUCCUAAUUAUUUUAAUAUGGAAAUUCGGUCAAAGGUCAUUUUAUCUGGGACUCUUGGACUGAAUAUUGACAUAAAAAUUUAAACUAAGUAAAUAAAUAAAUAAAUAAAUAAAAAUAAAACUUUACAACUUGGGCCACUUUGACAAUUUGGCCUGAUUUUCAACUAAGUAUGGAUGGAUUUCUUGAUUGGGCUGGGAAUUUGCUUAUUGGGCCUCGCCUUCAAGAAUUUGGGCUUUUGUGACUCGUAUCAUUCCCCCCUUCCUCAAAAAGAUUCGUCCUCGAAUCUGAAAAAUCAAAUGAACUCGACUUUCCUCUAUUGAACGGGACUAAUGGCAAUUGAGUCCACUGAAAAGAAUAGCCAUGAGAUAGUAAAUAGCAACAGAAACAAGCUUGUAGUCCAAUCAUAAGCAUAAUAGAACAAGUAUAAUGCAUGUGAAUGGACAGAUUCAGAUUACCAUGCAAACAAUCUAAUUUACUCACCACUGCCUCGUCAAAUAUUUGAAACAAAGAUGGACAUGUUUUAAGGCAUUCAGUCGUCUCACAUUGUUCCCACAAACCAUGAAUAAAUUGUGAGUAAUAAAUCAAAUGGUAAACAUAAUCAUCACAAGUAGGUAUUUGAAAAGAUUCACAUGGUUCACAGAGUUGCAUAAUCAUACCAUGCAUUAAUCGACGGUCUAUAGAUUCACUCACACAUGCAUUAUCAAAAACAAGAAUCUUUUUAUCAACCAUCAAAACAGAUAGAUCAUCAAUAAAUAAAAUAGGACAGUCAAGCACGUUUCGAUCUAAGUGUUCAUCAACACGAUCUUUAUCACUAUCCGAGGAGUACAAAAGUGUUUCAAAGGUUUCAAGCAUCUUACCUCGAUAAGCAGAAGAAUAAGGGUCGAUUUUACCUUUUUCAUUUAAAACAAACCUUCGCUCAUCGGGGGCAUAGUGUAGUCGAAUCUCCGUUGUUGAGUUAACCUUUGUCAAAUGGAACUCAAACUUCAUGAACAACCACAUAAACUGUUUAAGGCACGAAUAUAAAUUGAAAACAAAUUUGGAAAAUUUCGUUACCUUAUUCUCCAAAAUAGAUUUGGACAAAUUCAAGGAUUUUACACAAGGUAAAUCAAGAGAAUAACAAAUCACGCUUCUUUCCGUAAUGACUUUAUCAACCACAAUCGAAGAGUAACAAUUAAUCGGAUCAAAAUGAGGGGAUCUUUUAAGAACUAAGUCACCAAAAGUUUUAUCAAUAAUUUUCAAAUCUGCACUGGACUCGGUUUCUAAAAUUUCCUUACCUCGCUUACCUUCGGGAUCAUGUAGUGUGAUUUCAUCUUUACUUAAGUUGAUCGUAUGAAAGCGUCUUUCAUUUGAGAGGUAUUGAAGUUGAAAGUUAUCUUUCGAUCUUUCGGGAACCUGAAAAGUAGCAACACAAGAAAAAUUCAUAUCUUGGUUAGUGGAAACAUUCCUCACUACCCUUUCCACGUCUUUUUCUUUUGUUUCUUUUUCUAAUUCUUUUUCUCUUCUUUCUUCAAUUUCUUUUUCACUCUCAAUCUCUUUUUGCUCUUUUUCAUUCUCUUUUUCUUUUUCCUCACUUGUUUUAACAGAAUUUUUCAGUUUGAUUUGGUCCUCAUGGACUUGUUCCAGAGUGAGCGGCACUAAGGUGAGUUUCUUUCCUUGAUGCUUGAAGAAUACCUAUUGGUACGACCAUCGUGAGUGACUUUUCGAUCCAGUUGCCAUGGUUCUCCUAGCAACAAAUGGCAGGCUUGAAUAGGCAUUACGUCGCACACAACUUCGUCUUGAUACUUACCGAUAGAAAAGGCGAUGCGCACUUGUUGAGUGACCCUAAAUUGGCCUUCGUUGCUAAGCCCUUGUAGUUGAUAAGGUUGUGGAUGCUUGGUAGUGGUUAAGCAAAGCUUUUCCACCAUCGUCGUGCUGGCUAUGUUCGAGCAACUUUCACCAUCAAUAAUAACUCUACAAAGCUUACCUUGUACGUGGCAGCGAGUAUGAAAGAGAUGUUCUCGUUGCUGCUCGCUCUUUGGUUUUGCCAAAUAUGAUUGUCCAUGAUCAUGACAAUCAUCAUCCAUUCUAGGGACACGUUGAGGGUUGUACCUAUGGGACUGGUUAUCCCUAUCUUCCUUAAUUGGAUCUCGAUAUUGAUGUUUUUGAUUCACUCGUACCUCAUUCAAAGUAGUAUUCAAUUCUUGAAGUGUAGCAUUUAUUUGUGUGAUUGCAGCAGUAUGUCUGUCUAACUAUUGUUGGACUUUCAUAAGUGCAUCAUUAUUAUCACCUUUAGACAUCUUCAAAACCUGUAAAAAAUAAACACUCAACACUCAAAAAUGAAAGUUAGCAAACCUCACCAUUAAUCACUCAAAAAGAAAAAUCAAAUUCUCAAUGAGGUCGAAUUCAAUCUUGUGAGUUCUUUAUUAGAGUUUAUAUCAACCAAUUAGAGAGUGUGAACCAAACUACCAAAGAAUCCUAAUUUGCACUAGGAUGCCAAAAACUGACGAGACACCAAGUGAUUCGUGUUGCACCGAGGAAGGAUUGUGCACACGUUUAAAUCCUACUAACACAAGAAACAAGAAGGUGUUAGAUAUUUUAAAAGGAUAAUAAAAAGCAAACAAAUGAAAACCUACAGCUAAGAAUCAAUAAAAAUUGUUGAAAACAGAAAACCCGAAAGACUGCGGAGUAACUUGACAACUUCGUUCGAGGUGUUCCCGAUCUCUAAAUUUCACGAAAUUAAAUCUGGAGUGUCCUUAUAUAUUGAAUUUUUGAUUUAAAAAUUUUUGAAACCAAAUUCAACCCGCUGCACCUUUUAUUAAAUUUUUAUUGAAUUUCGUCUUUUUUUGAUUUUUUGACUUUUUUGACUGAUUUUUUUUCGGGAAUAAUUUUUUUAUAUUCAAUCACAGUGCCAAAAACAUGUAUGUAAAAUUUCAGAUCAAUCGGAUAACGUUUACCUACUCAAAUGAAUUUUUUUAACAAUUUUUCUGGGUAAAACUGCUGUUUAUGCUUUAAAAAAUAGAGAUCAGUUUAGAAAUCAACCAAGAACACCCAAAACGCCCAAAAUCUGAUACCAAAUGAUACGGGGUUGCGCGCAGACCAAGAUCGAGUUGCCAAGUCACGGGAAACUCCUACGAAAACCCUAAACAAUUAGAUCUGAAACGAAACAAAAAAUUAAAAGAUUAGAUUUUUAAAUUUUCAGAUCUGAAAUAAAAUCCCCAAAACAGUAAAGAAUCAAAUAGAGAAUAGAAAUAAGUGUUAAUAAGGAAUCUUGAAACCCUAAAAGAGAUUGCGAUUCUGCCCAAUUGAACACCCAGAUAGUUUUCCCCAAAUUUCGACAAUCUAAUUUCACCCAAAAAGAGUAUGGAAAAACCCUAGAAAUUGGGAAUUUUUGGGCUGAUUCCUUAAGAUAGAAAAAGGCUGAAAACACAAUAAGAACAGAAAAUAGAUUAGAUAAUGAUUCAGCACAAGUAGAAAUAAAGAAAGAAUUGACAGUAAGAAAUUAAAAGAUAAGUCCUAAGAAGCCUUGAAAUCUCGAAAGAUCUCACAACUCCCUUCAAACGGCUCUAAUCUCCCCUCCAAAGAAUAUCAAUGGCAAGAAGAAGGUUGAAGAUGGCUCCCACAAUCACAAGAUUGUUAAAAUAACUUCUAAAGAAAACUCAAGAGAGAAAUCUUGGAGAAAACUCAAAGAAAAUUUUGCUCUCAACAAAUCUGAAAUUUUAAUAAUAAUGAUAAGUGUUUAACAAGGUGGACAGCCAUGCCUUUAAAUAGGCCUUAUAACUAGUCUAAUCUAAUUAGAAAACUAAAAUAAAAAAAACUCCUAAUUAUUUUAAUAUGGAAAUUCCGUCAAAGGUCAUUUUAUCUGGGACUCUUGGACUGAAUAUUGACAUAAAAAUUUAAACUAAGUAAAUAAAUAAAUAAAUAAAUAAAAAUAAAACUUUACAACUUGGGCCACUUUGACAAUUUGGCCUGAUUUUCAACUAAGUAUGGAUGGAUUUCUUGAUUGGGCUGGGAAUUUGCUUAUUGGGCCUCGCCUUCAAGAAUUUGGGCUUUUGUGACUCGUAUCAACAUUCUAGUUUAAAUUUCAUGAUUUUUGGAGAUCAGGAACACCUCGAACGAAGUUUUCGGGUUUUAGCAAUUUUUAUUGAUUCUUAGCUGUAGGUUUUCAUUUGUUUUGCCUUUAUUCUUCCUUUACACUAUCUAACACCUUCUUGUUUCUUGUGUUAGUAGGAUUUAAAAGUGUGCACAAUUAUUCCUCGGUGCGACACAAAUCAAUUGGUGUCUCGUCACUUUUUUAGACUCCUAGUGCAAUUUGGAUUAUUUGGUAGUUACGGUUCAUACACUUUCUAAUUGAUUGAUAUAGACUCUACUAAAGAACUCACAAGACUGAAUUCUACCUCUUUGAGAAUUUGAUUUUCCUUUUUGAAUGAUUAACGGUAAGGUUUGUUAAUGUUUUUUUUGAGUGUUGAGUGUUUGUUUUUCAACGAAGAAGAACUCCCUUAAGCCCUCCGAGAAAUCGAGGAUGGCAAUCUGAUUUAGAUGAUGAAUCUUCCGAGCCGAUUAAACACGAAAGUGAUAAAGGGUCCAAUGCGAAUGUCCAACGGAGAGGCCUACGCAACCGAGGCCAACGAAACCGAGAGAGGUUUGAUGAUGACUUGAAAAGCAUUAAGUUGUCAACCCUUCAUUCCAAGGCCGAUCGGAUCUCGAAGCUUAUCUCGAGUGGGAGAAAAAGAUCGAGCUCAUAUUUGAAUGCCAUAACUAUUCUGAGGCCAAGAAAGUUAAGUUGGUUGCUUUCGAGUUUUCUGACUACGCAAUGGUUUGAUACUAGUUACAAAGGCCCAACCUAAGCUCAAGAACGUGAUGGGCUCAAAUUACCACAAGGCCUAAUAACGAGGUCAAAGGCCAGACAAAUGAGUUCCAAACUAAAUGGACCAUUCAGGAAUUUGUUAGCAAGGCCUUAGAUACGUACACGAAAGAAAGAGAAAAUCAAGAUUCACUUUCUUGUUUUCAAGAAAAUCAAGAAACCGAAUCUUGGCCCAAUUUUGUUGUUUGCAGCGAUUUCAAGAAUCAAGAAAAUCAAUGAUACGGGGUUGCGUGCGGACCAAGAUCGAGUUGCCAAGUCACAAGAAACUCCUACGAAAACCCUAAACAAUUAGAUCUGAAACGAAACAGAAAAUUAAAAGAUUAGAUUUUUGAAUUUUCAGAUCUAAAAUAAAAUCCCCAAAUCAGCAAAGAAUCAAAUUGAGAAUAGAAAUAAGUGUUAGGGUUCUUGAAACCCUCAAGGAGAUUGUGAUUCUGCCCAAUUGAACACCAAGAUAGUUUUCCCCAAAUUUCGACAAUCUAAUUUCACCCAAAAAGAGUAUGGAAAAACCCUAGAAAUUGGGGAUUUUUGGGCUGAUUCCUUAAGAUAGAAAAAGGCUGAAAACACAAUAAGAACAGAAAAUAGAUUAGAUAAUGAUUCAGCACAAGUAGAAAUAAAGAAAGAAUUGACAGUAAGAAAUUAAAAGAUAAGUCCUAAGAAGCCUUGAAAUCUCGAAAGAUCUCACAACUCCCUUCAAACGGCUCUAAUCUCCCCUCCAAAUAAUAUCAAUGGCAAGAAGAAGGUUGAAGAUGGCUCCCAGAAUCCCAAGAUUGUUAAAACAAAUUCUAAAGAAAACUCAAGAGAAAAAUCUUGGAGAAAACUCAAAGAAAAUUCUGCUCUCAACAAAUCUGAAAUUUUAAUAAUAAUGAUAAGUGUUUAACAAGGUGGACAGCCAUGCCUUUAAAUAGGCCUUGUAACUAGUCCUAAUCUAAUUAGAAAACUAAAAUAAAAAAAACUCCUAAUUAUUUUAAUAUGGAAAUUUGGUCAAAGGUCAUUUUAUCUAGGACUCUUGGACUGAAUAUUGACAUAAAAAUUUAAACUAAGUAAAUAAAUAAAUAAAUAAAAAUAAAAAUAAAACUUUACAACUUGGGCCACUUUGACAAUUUGGCCUGAUUUUCAACUAAGUAUGGAUGGAUUUCUUGAUUGGGCUGGGAAUUUGCUUAUUGGGCCUCGCCUUCAAGAAUUUGGACUUUUGUGACUCGUAUCAUUCCCCCUUCCUCAAAAAGAUUCGUCCUCGAAUCUGAAAAAUCAAAUGAACUCGACUUUCCUCUAUCGAACGAGACUAAUGGCAAUUGAGUCCACUGAGAAGAAUAGCCAUGAGAUAGUAAAUAGCAACGGAAAUAAGCUUGUAGUCCAAUCAUAAGCAUAAUAAAACAGGUAUAACGCAUGUGAAUGGACAGAUUCAGAUUACCAUGCAAACAAUCUAAUUUACUCACCACUGCCUCGUCAAAUAUUUGAAACAAAGAUGGACAUAUUUUAAGGCAUUCAGUCGUCUCACAUUGUUCCCACAAACCAUGAAUAAAUUGGGAGUAAUAAAUCAAAUGGUAAACAUAAUCAUCACAAGUAGGUAUUUGAAAAGAUUCACAUGGUUCACAGAGUUGCAUAAUCAUACCAUGCAUUAAUCGACGGUCUAUAGAUUCACUCACACAUGCAUUAUCAAAAACAAGAAUCUUUUUAUCAACCAUCAAAACAGAUAGAUCAUCAAUAAAUAAAAUAGGACAGUCAAGCACGUUUCGAUCUAAGUGUUCAUCAACACGAUCUUUAUCACUAUCCGAGGAGUACAAAAGUGUUUCAAAGGUUUCAAGCAUCUUACCUCGAUAAGCAGAAGAAUAAGGGUCGAUUUUACCUUUUUCAUUUAAAACAAACCUUCGCUCAUCGGGGGCAUAGUGUAGUCGAAUCUUCGUUGUUGAGUUAACGUUUGUCAAAUGGAACUCAAACUUCAUGUACAACCACAUAAACUGUUUAAGGCACGAAUAUAUUGAAAACAAAUUUGGAAAAUUUCGUUACCUUAUUCUCCAAAACAGAUUUGGAUAAAUUCAAGGAUUUUACACAAGGUAAAUCAAGAGAAUAACAAAUCACGCUUCUUUUCGUAAUGACUUUAUCAACCACAAUCGAAGAGUAACAAUUAAUCGAAUCAAAAUGAGGGGAUCUUUUAAGAACUAAGUCACCAAAAGUUUUAUCAAUAAUUUUCAAAUCUGCACUGGACUCGGUUUCUAAAAUUUCCUUACCUCGCUUACCUUCGGGAUCAUGUAGUGUGAUUUCAUCUUUACUUAAGUUGAUCGUAUGAAAGCGUCUUUCAUUUGAGAGGUAUUGAAGUUGAAAGUUAUCUUUCAAUCUUUCGGGAACCUGAAAAGUAGCAACACAAGAAAAAUUCAUAUCUUGGUUAGUGGAAACAUUCCUCACUACCCUUUCCACGUCUUUUUCUUUUGUUUCUUUUUCUAAUUCAUUUUUUCUUCUUUCUUUAUUUCUACUUGUGCUGAAUCAUUAUCUAAUCUAUUUUUUGUUCUUAUUGUGUUUUCAGCCUUUUUCUAUCUUAAGGAAUCGGCCCAAAAAUCCCCAAUUUCUAGGGUUUUUCCAUACUCUUUUUGGGUGAAAUUAGAUUGUCGAAAUUUGGGGAAAACUAUCUUGGUGUUCAAUUGGGCAGAAUCACAAUCUCCUUGAGGGUUUCAAGAACCCUAACACUUAUUUCUAUUCUCAAUUUGAUUCUUUGCUGAUUUGGGGAUUUUAUUUCAGAUCUGAAAAUUCAAAAAUCUAAUCUUUUAAUUUUCUGUUUCGUUUCAGAUCUAAUUGUUUAGGGUUUUCGUAGGAGUUUCUCGUGACUUGGCAACUCGAUCUUGGUCCGCGCGCAACCCUGUAUCAUUUGAUAUUUUAAAAGGAUAAUAAAAAGCAAACAAAUGAAAACCUACAGCUAAGAAUCAAUAAAAAUUGCUGAAAACAGAAAACCCGAAAAACUGUGGAGUAACUUGAAAACUUCGUUCGAGGUGUUCCCGAUCUCAAAAAAUCACAAAAUUAAAUCUCGAAUGUCCUUAAAUAUUUAAUUUUUGAUCUGGAAAGUUUGGGCACCAAACUCAACCCGCUGAAUUUUUUUUAAUUUUUAUUGGAUUUCGUCUUUUUUUUCGAUUUUUUGACUUUUUUGACUGAUUUUUUUGCAGUAAUAAAUUUUUUAUAUUCAAUCACAGUGCCACAAAUAUGUAUGUAAAAUUUCAGAUCAAUUUGACAACGUUUACCCACUCAAAUAAAAUUUUUUUGAAAGAUUUUUCUGGGUAAAACUGCUGUUUUUGCUUUAAAAUAUUGAGAUCAGUUUAGAAAUCAACCAAGAACACCCAAAACGCCCAAAAUCUGAUACCAAAUGAUACGGGGUUGCGCGCGGACCAAGAUCGAGUUGCCAAGUCACGAGAAACUCCUACGAAAACCCUAAACAAUUAGAUCUGAAACGAAACAGAAAAUUAAAAGAUUAGAUUUUUGAAUUUUCAGAUCUGAAAUAAAAUCCCCAAAUCAGCAAAGAAUCAAAUUGAGAAUAGAAAUAAGUGUUAGGGUUCUUGAAACCCUCAAGGAGAUUGUGAUUCUGCCCAAUUGAACACCAAGAUAGUUUUCCCCAAAUUUCGACAAUUUAAUUUCACCCAAAAAGAGUAUGGAAAAAUCCUAGAAAUUGGGAAUUUUUGGGCUGAUUCCUUAAGAUAGAAAAAGGCUGAAAACACAAUAAGAACAGAAAAUAGAUUAGAUAAUGAUUCAGCACAAGUAGAAAUAAAGAAAGAAUUGACAGUAAGAAAUUAAAAGAUAAGUCCUAAGAAGCCUUGAAAUCUCGAAAGAUCUCACAACUCCCUUCAAACAGCUCUAAUCUCCCCUCCAAAUAAUAUCAAUGGCAAGAAGAAGGUUGAAGAUGGCUCCCACAAUCCCAAGAUUGUUGAAACAACUUCUAAAGAAAACUCAAGAGAAAAAUCUUGGAGAAAACUCAAAGAAAAUUCUGCUCUCAACAAAUCUGAAAUUUUAAUAAUAAUGAUAAGUGUUUAACAAGGUGGACAGCCAUGCCUUUAAAUAGGCCUUAUAACUAGUCCUAAUCUAAUUAGAAAACUAAAAUAAAAAAAACUCCUAAUUAUUUUAAUAUGGAAAUUUGGUCAAAGGUCAUUUUAUCUAGGACUCUUGGACUGAAUAUUGACAUAAAAAUUUAAACUAAGUAAAUAAAUAAAUAAAUAAAAAUAAAAUAAAACUUUACAACUUGGGCCACUUUGACAAUUUGGCCUGAUUUUCAACUAAGUAUGGAUGGAUUUCUUGAUUGGGCUGGGAAUUUGCUUAUUGGGCCUCGCCUUCAAGAAUUUGGGCUUUUGUGACUCGUAUCAAUCAAGAUUUCAAAUCUUGGAAAUCUUGGUCCAAGAAAUCGAAUCUUGCAGCUAAAGCGCAUUGGACCUCCGUUACGAGCAUCAACGAACCAAUUUCGGUAGGAGAUGGACUACAAGCCCAAGUUCUUGAAGGCAAGGCCCAACAAGAUGAUUCCAAGCCCAACCAAGAAGUCAAACCAUACUUAGUUGAAAAUCAGGCCAAAUUGUUAAAGUGGCCCAAUUUGUAAAAGAUUUAAUUGUUUAAAUAUCUAGUUUAAUUUUUAGACUUUAGGAUUAUUAUAUGUCAAAAUUCGACCCAAGCAGCCCAUUAAAAUGCCUUGGCCGAAUUUCUCUCUUAAUUUAUUAAUUAGGUUUUUUUAAGUUUUCCUAAUGAGAUUAGGAAAUAGAUAGAAGGCCUAUUAAUAGGCAUGGCCGGCCACCCUAUUGAAUACAUUACCAUACAUUAAAUUUUUAGUUUUUGCUAAGUAUCAAAUUCUCUUAGAGUUUUCUCCAAGAAUUCUCUCUUGAGUUUCUUUAGAAGUAGUUUUAACAAUCUUUUUGAUUGUGGGAGCCAUCUUCAGCCUUCUUCUUGCCAUUGUUCUUCAUUAGAGGGGAGAUUAGAGCCGUUUGAAGGGAGUUGUGAAAUCUUUUGGGAUUUCAAGGCUUCUUAGGACUUUUCUUUAUUUUAUUGAUGUCCGUUUCUUUUAAUUUCUUUGUUGUUUGCGUCAAACUCAUUGAUUAAUCCUUUAAUUUCUUUCUUGUGAUUCCAGCUAUCAAAAUCUUCAAGGAUCUGUUCGGUGUUCUUAUUGGAAGCAAGAAGCGUUCAUUAAUUCCUCAUUCAAUUGAUCUUGUCGGCUACAUGAUGUGAUCCGACUCUUUUGAUUGAGUCGAUUCAAUUGAUUGCCUGAUCGUCGACGAGAAGUUUGUUUGAUUUUGUAGAUAAUGGAGUUAGAUGAUUUUUUAUAGCGGAAGUUGAGAAAAUGGGUUCAAAAGAUGGUUUGGGUAGAUGUUUGAUAGGCUCGGUGAAAUAAAGAAAUAUUGUUUAUAAUUUAAUAGUUAAAAUAGAAUGGAAAAAUAGAACUCAAGCGAAGAACGAUUCAAUACUAUAUGAAGUAUUGCCCCGGGACUUAUAUUGCUUAAGGUGGGUUUAAUGGAUUGUCGAGGAUGGACCUUGACCCGUUACCUAUAGAAAGGUAGGAACCAAAGGUAUAAAAAAGUGGAUGAACGCCACACCAGGAUGGUGAUAAGUUCAAGAAGUCGGGUUGACGCCACUAGCGAGCUAGAUAAGUCAGAACGAGACUCGUACGAAAUAGGAUAGGAGGAAACCUCACAAUCAAGUUUUCAAUAAUCAAAUUUUGUAACCUUUUGCAAUAAACAAGUAAGCUAUUUAUAAGCCUAAAAUGCCUAUUGAUAUUCAGCAUCUAUGUUGUUCACACUAACUUAAAUUCUGUUCACACAGGUAUUUAACAUGUUCACACAAAUAGCAUUAAAAUCCAGUUCAUGCUUGAAGAUGGUACAUGAAUUGGCCGAACCAUCAUGAUGCUUCACUUGAUGCAUUCAUGCAUCCUUAGCCUUGAAGAAUCUCCAUAAUUCCAUGAAUGUGCAGCUCUUUAAUGAUCCUACAUCUCCCUUGGUUGAAUGAGGCAUUAAUGUGCCUAAAAUACUUGAAUGGUCAUCUUGAAAAUGCAUGAAUCAUGCAUGAAACGUCCCAUGUAUUUUCCCCCAUAAAUAUGAUCCAUGAAUCUUCAAAUACAUGAACUUUUAGCAACUCCCUCUUGCAUGAACGUCCCAAAUGCAUGUGCUCCUUUAAAUGCCAUCCAUUGAACCUCAAUUGUUCAUGCACACUCCCAUACAUUGCACCAAUCCGUUCAUGAACCUGCAGCAAAUUAAAUCAGCAAGUUAAAUGCAUUUCAAACACAUUAAAUUAGCAGCAUAUGAACUCAAUAAUUUGCACAUUAAAUUUGGCCAUACAUAUUAACAAUUUUAGACAUAUUUAAAACAUCAUAAUUAAUUAAGUAUUUAAUUUAGAUAUAAUUAAAACACUUAAUUAAUUAUUUGUCCAGAUUUUAACAAAUUAACUAACUUAAGAUAAACAACUAAUUUAACUAAUGACAAAUUAAAUGGUUUAUUUCAGCAAAAUAAAUGCAAGCUAAAGAAAGCUAAAAAUAAGCUCAUUGGGUUAAGAUUGAGCUGAAUUGAGCUUGAGUGAGUUGACUUGAGCUCGAGUGAGCUGGAAACGUGCUAAACGGAGCUUAACGAAAUGAAAUUGAACUAAUUCAGCUCGCAUGGAUUUGCAAACAAUGCUUAGGGAGCUGAUCCAAAAGUGUGCCCGGGGCAUGGUCGUAUCAUCCCCUCCCUCUUUAAAGCGAUUUGUCCCCAAAUCGGGCCAUUUACUCGCGAAAAAUCGUUGAAGAUUCUGAAAGCCACAAUUAACUCGGAUCAAAAGAAGCUCAUUCGCAUGCCCUCCCUCUUUAGGAGGGUACCACAUCACAUUGUCACCUUUAAAAGAACAAAACGAAUUAGUGACACGAUGAAGAUUAAACACAAAGGAACUUUUUGAGAUUUGAUUCACAGUUUGAACAAAUAAUCCAAUACCGGGGUCGAAAAUAGAAAUCGUUCUUACCUUUUUCUUCGAUGGAAACAAACAUAAAUCACAAGGCAUUUGAUAGCUAUGGUUUUGGAAGUCAACUUUCCAUGGUUCGAUUACCUUAGGCAAUGAUAUAGAAUGGUGUUUUCCGGGGUCAAAGACAAAAUUUUCUCUUGCAAUUUCAAUUUGAUUUGGCAAUUUCAUGACCGACUUCAUAGAAGCACUAAGCAACUCAAAAUCAUUAUCAUUCAAAACAUGUUCGGAUCUUUUAGUCCACAGUUGAGAACAUCCUCCGAAAACAAAAUUUUGAUUUUGACUUAACAAACCAACAAGAUUCACAUGGCUCAUUUUCAAACUUAAAGACAAAGUAUCAUACAAACAAAGAUUGUUUACACAUUCAUUCAAACAAAUUUUACGAUGCUUGCUUUCUUUCAUGGAUGAUUCAUAAUAGCAAACUCCAAGAUUAAAGACAUGAUUUUGACUACUCGAUCCAAAUGGCAAAAAGAGUCCUUUUAUCUCCAACAAUUUACACAAAUUAAACAACGAGGGUGUUAACAUACUCAAAUUCAAACAAUCAAACCCUUUAAAUUUCAUUUGAAAAGAUUUACAAAAACAUGGAAAUUUCACACCAAAAAUUAGAUAAUCCACAUGAUCAACACAACCAAGCAGAUGAUAUGUCAACUUUUGAUCACACAAUUCCAGAUUUUGUUGGUGCAGAUUUAUUCGCUCUUCAUCAAAAAUCUUGCCAAUGGCAUAUUCAUCAAUACAUUUCCAUUCCUUUUCAACAUGAUCAGUGAGAAUGAACAUUUUAUAUGGACUUUCAUCUUGCGCAUCCAAAACAUGCAUUCCAUUGCAAGUUAAAGAUAAACAACCAAUACCAUCAAAAUGAUAUUUUUCAAAAGCAAGAAUCUUCUUAUCAUUAGACAAAACAAAUGGAUCAUCAUCAAUCAAAGAAUGACAAAUAGCCACGUCAAAGUUCAGAUUCUUUCUAAAGACCAAAUCAUCAACAGUGUGUCCAUCAACAAUCGAGUAAGGCAGAAGUGCUUUAAAAUUUUCAACAUUCAUACCUUGCUUACCUUUUGGCAUAGGCGAACUAGGAUCGUUGAGAACAUCACCUUUUUCAGCCAAAAUGAACCUUCUCUCCUUCGAGAGGUAUUGGAGUUGAAAAUUAUCGUCACUUGGCCUUCCGGAGACCUGAAAAGAGGAAACAAAACAAGACAAAUUCUCAUGUGGUUUAGUAAAUAGAUUCCUCACUUUUUCUUGCUCUUUUGCCUCCUUUUCUCUCGUUUUUUUUUUCUAACUCAUUGUCUUUUCUUUCUUUUUCAAUUUUCUCUUUUUCCUCACACUUUUGUUCAAUCUCAAUUUCUUUUUCGAUUUCUUUCUCUUUUUUACAUCCUUUUUCAAUCUCAAUUUCUUUUUCCAUGACACUCGUUUCUUUUACACUCUCGUUUCUUUCUUCAAUCUCACUCUCUUUUUCAAUUUCUUAUUCCUUUUCUUUCAUUUCUUUUUUUCGUCUCUCGAUUUCAUUCCAUAUAUGCUCAUUUUCUCUCAUCAACAUUUCUUGUCUUUCCUUUCUUCUUAUUUCUUUUUCUUUUUGCCUCGCUCUUUCAUUAUAGGAUGGAGAUGUUACAAAUGAAUCAGCACGAAAUGACUCUCGUUGGGUAUAAUUGGAACGACUUUCAUACAAAAAAUGAUCACCUCUUCGAGAUUGAUUCCUGGCGGAUGAAUACCUCGAUGCAUACGAAGGACUACUUGUGAUUUCUCGUUCGUCACCUCGGAAAGCUUUAAACUCAAAACUUGCUUUGCUUCGUCUUGAGUUCCUCGUUGAAUAAGAAUCAUGGUAUGAAUCUCUUCCCAAAAAAUCAAUGGAUGUGUGCCUUCGUGAUGAUCUUGUCUCCGUCUCUUCACCCGGUGAGUUUGGCUUCCAUCGGGCUCUUUCCUCCACUCGAUCCAAUCGAUCAUGCAAUUUAUCAAAUUUUGAUUUCACCAUUCUAUGCAUCUCUUGCAUCAAAUAUUGGAAUUCUGAUUCGGGAAAUGUUUCUCGAGACAUGAUUAAGUAAUGACAAGAAGAUGUUAAAAAAAAUAAUAAAGAAAAUAAAUACCUUACCACAAACCUCACAAAUUUGCUCGAAAAGGAAAUAAUGAUUUUCACUCGCACUCGUGUUAACAUUCAAAUUUUGGCUUUUUCUUUGAUGUAAUUUCACUCGUGCCUUUUCCACUCAACCUCUUCUCACAAUUUCGUGAUUUGUCUCGGUAGACUUAAUUUGCUGCUUGAGGGUCGGUUUCAAAUUGGUUACAAGGGAUAAUGUUGGGUGUAGGGUAGGCUGAAUAAAGAAGAAAAUUGGUUUAAAGUGUGGCGUUGGGAUGGGUAAAUAAUGGUAGGAAGGGAAACUUGAUGAUCAGAGUAAUAAGUGAUAAUGAUAAAAACUCGCAAGACUUUUCACUUUUUUUCUUUCUUCUUUUUUUUAACUCGAUUUUUUUGUCACUUCUUUUUUUUUCCUUUUUUUUUGAAAUUUUUUUCUGAAUUUCUUCUCUUUUUUUUUUAAAUCCAAUACAAUAGUAAACAAAAUACAAGGAAGAGAAAAAAAAUUAAAUUCCAACUCAAUUUUUUUUUGAUUUUUUUUGACUUUUUUUUACGUUACGAACCUAUUCCGAGCUUGAUACGAACAUCGGUACUCCUCGUUUUAGUAGCUCUGAUACCAAAUGAUGUGAUCCGGCUCGAUUGAUUGAGUCGAUUCACUUGAUUGCCCGAUCGUCGACGAGAAGUUUGUUUGAUUUUGUAGAUAGAUGGAGUUAGAUGAUUUUUUAUAGCGGAAGUUGAGAAAAUGGGUUCAAAAGAUGGUUUGGGUAGAUGUUUGAUAGGCUCGGUGAAAUAAAGAAAUAUUGUUUAUAAUUUAAUAGUUAAAAUGGAAUGGAAAAAUAGAACUCAAGCGAAGAACGAUUCAAUACUAUAUGAAGUAUUGCCCCGGGACUUAUAUUGCUUAAGGUGGGUUUAAUGGAUUGUCGAAGAUGGACCUUGACCCAUUACCUAUAGAAAGGUAGGAACCAAAGGUAUAAAAAGGUGGAUGAACGCCACACCAGGAUGGUGAUAAGUUCAAGAAGUCGGGUUGACGCCACUAGCGAGCUAGAUAAGUCAGAACGAGACUCGUACGAAAUAGGAUAGGAGGAAACCUCACAAUCAAGUUUUCAAUAAUCAAAUUCUGUAACCUUUUACAAUAAACAAGUAAGCUAUUUAUAAGCCUAAAAUGCCUAUUGAUAUUCGGCAUCUAUGUUGUUCACACUAACUUAAAUUUUGUUCACACAGGUAUUUAACAUGUUCACACAAAUAGCAUUAAAAUCCAGUUCAUGCUUGAAGAUGGUACAUGAAUUGGCCGAACCAUCAUGAUGCUUCACUUGAUGCAUUCAUGCAUCCUUAGCCUUGAAGAAUCUCCAUAAUUCCAUGAAUGUGUAGCUCUUUAAUGAUCCUACAUCUCCCUUGGCUGAAUGAGGCAUUAAUGUGCCUAAAAUACUUGAAUGGUCAUCUUGAAAAUGCAUGAAUCAUGCAUGAAACGUCCCAUGUAUUUUCCCCCAUAAAUAUGAUCCAUGAAUCUUCAAAUACAUGAACUUUUAGCAACUCCCUCUUGCAUGAACGUCCCAAAUGCAUGUGCUCCUUUAAAUGCCAUCCAUUGAACCUCAAUUGUGCAUGCACACUCCCAUACAUUGCACCAAUCCGUUCAUGAACCUGCAGCAAAUUAAAUCAGCAAGUUAAAUGCAUUUCAAACACAUUAAAUUAGCAGCAUAUGAACUCAAUAAUUUGCACAUUAAAUUUGGCCAUACAUAUUAACAAUUUUAGUCAUAUUUAAAACAUCAUAAUUAAUUAAGUAUUUAAUUUAGAUAUAAUUAAAACACUUAAUUAAUUAUUUGUCCAGAUUUUAACAAAUUAACUAACUUAAGAUAAACAACUAAUUUAACUAAUGACAAAUUAAAUGGUUUAUUUCAGCAAAAUAAAUGCAAGCUAAAGAAAGCUAAAAAUAAGCUCAUUGGGUUAAGAUUGAGCUGAAUUGAGCUUGAGUGAGUUGACUUGAGCUCGAGUGAGCUGGAAACGAGCUAAACGGAGCUUAACGAAAUGAAAUUGAACUAAUUCAGCUCGCAUGGAUUUGCAAACAAUGCUUAGGGAGCUGAUCCAAAAGUGUGCCCGGGGCAUGGUCGUAUCACUGCACAUCCUAGAUUUUGUUCUUGCCGUCCAAACUCUAUCUUUCAUUCAAUCGAUUUGCUGCACUUUAACAUUAACUUGCUGUUUUUGAUUAUUCUUCUCAGAUUUGGCAGAUUGGGAUUUAAUUCGAUUUCAAACCGUGUUCUUUGCGUCCAAGAUUUUUUAUUCUUAAGAGUGUUUGUUUCUUGUUGUGCAUUGAUUGAUUUGGGGAUUUUAAUUUCAGAUCUAAUCAUAUUUAAUUUUAAUUCUCUGUUCGUUUCAGAUCUGAUCAUCUAGAACUUCGUAGGAGUUUUCUCGUGACUUGGCAACUCGAUCUUGGUCCGCGCACAACCCCCUAUCAUUUGGUUUUAGAUUUUGGGCGUUUUGGGUGUUCUUGGUUGAGUUCUAAAUUGAUCUCUAUUUUUUAAACUACAAACAGCAGUUUUACCCAGAAAAAUUUUUGGAAAAAAAUUCAUUCGAGUGGGUAAACAUUUUUCGAUUGAUCUGAAAUUUUACAUUCAUAUUUGUGGAACUUUUAUUGAAUAAUAAAAAAUAUUUCCCACAAAAUAAUUUGUCGAAAAAGUAAAAAAAUUGAAAAAGACGAAAUCCAAUAAAAAUUUUAAAAAAAUAUUCAGCGGGUUGAGUUUAGUGCCAAAACUUUCCAAAUCAAAAAUUAAAUAUUUAAGAACAUUCCAGAUUUAAUUUCGUGAUUUUUGGAGAUUGGGAACACCUCGAACAAAGUUGUCAAGUUACUCCGCAGUUUUUCAGGUUUUUAGAUUUCAGCAAUUUUUAUUGAUUCUUAGCUGUAGGUUUUCAUUUGUUUUGCCUUUAUUCUCCCUUUACACUAUCUAAAACCUUCUUGUUUCUUGUGUUAGUAGGAUUUUAAGGUGUGCACAAUUCUUCAUCGGUGCGACACAAAUUAAUUUGUGUCUCGUCAGUUUUGGCAUCCUAGUGCAAAUUAGGAUUCUUUGGUAGUUUCGGUUCAUAAACUUUCUAAUUGGUUGAUAUAGAAUCUACUAAAGAACUCACAAGACUGAAUUCUACCUCUUUGAGAAUUUGAUUUUUUUUCUUUUUGAGUGAUUAACGGUGAGGUUUGCUAAUUUUCCUUUUUGAGUGUUGGGUGUUUGUUUUGUAGGUUUUUGAAAAAAGAAAAAAAAUGUCGAGAGUUGGUGAUGACCAUAGUAAUGUCCAUGAUAAAUUUAAAAAGAUCCAACAAUAGUUAGACGACGGGCUGCCUUACUUCGAACAUUGAGUGCUACUAUCAAUAAGAUGCGAUGGGAUCAAGAGCCUCAGUAUCGGGGUCCAAUUAAAGAGGAUGUGGAUAACCAGCCUCGUGCUCAUAGGCACGCUCCUAGACGUGUCCCUAGAACUAACUAUGACGUUCAUGAUCGCGGACAACCCUCUUUGGCAAAACCAAAGAGUGAGCAGCAACGAGAACAACUCUUUCAUACUCGCUGCCAUGUACAAGGUAAGGUUUGUAGAGUUAUUAUUGAUGGUGAAAGUUGCUCCAACGUAGCCAGCACGACGAUGGUGGAAAAGCUUUGCUUAACCACUACCAAGCAUCCACGACCUUAUCAACUACAAGGGCUUAGCAACGAAGGCCAAUUUAAGGUGCAUCGCCUUUUCUAUCGGCAAGUAUCAAGACGAAGUCGUGUGCGACGUAGUGCCUAUUCAAGCCUGCCAUUUGUUGCUAGGAGAACCAUGGCAAAGCGAUCGAAAGGUCACCCAUGAUGGUCGUACCAAUAGGUAUUCUUUCAAGCAUCAAGGAAAGAAAGUCACCUUAGUGCCACUCACUCCGGAACAAGUCCAUGAGGACCAAAUCAAACUGAAAAAGUCUGUUGUUAAAACAAGUAAGGAAAAAGAAAAAGAAGAAGAGAAAAAUAAAAGUGAAAAAGAAGAAAAUGAAAAUGAAAAAGGCAAAAAGGAAAGCGAGAGAGAAACAAAAGAAAAUGUGAAUGAAGUGAGUGAAAAAGAGAGAGCUUAAACAAGGAAUGAGUGAAGAAGAAGAGAGUGCUCAAACACAAGGGAGGAAUAUUUUUGCUAACCCGCAUUUGAAAUCGCCUUGUGAUUUCUCUUUGUUUUAAGUUUGCAAUAUUCCACCCAUGGACAGGUUCCAGCUUCAUUACCCUUCUACCGAGAGACGUUUUUAAUUGAUUGAACAAGGUUUCAUAAUUAGUGCUCAAGGUAUUCUUGUCGAUGAGGACAAAGUUAAGGCAAUCAAGGAGUGGCCAACUCUUAAAUCGAUAACUGAGGUGAGAUCUUUCCAUGGUUUAGCUAGUUUUUAUAGACGAUUUGUGAAAGAUUUCUCCACUAUUGCUGAGUUGGUGAAAUCCUUACACGAGAAGGCUAGGCAGCAAAUAGCCAAAACAAAUGACAUCAACACCAACAAAGCAAAUAAGAGGAGCAAACGGGUUGUCUUUGAACCCGGAGACUAGGUUUGGAUCCAUAUGAGGAAAGAACGAUUUCCUACAGAAAGAAAGACUAAAUUGGACCCAAGGGGCGAUGGGCCUUUCCAAGUACUCGAGCGGAUCAACGAAAAUGCCUAUAAUUGAUCUACCUAGUGAGUACAAUGUAAGUUCUACUUUUAAUGUGGCUGACUUGUCCCCAUUUGAUUUUUCAGAUUCGAGGACGAAUCUUUUUGAGGAAGGAAGGAAUGAUACGAGUCACAAAGGCCCAAACCAGCUCAAGAACGUGAUGGGCUCAAAUUACCACAAGGCCCAAUAAUGAGGUCAAAGGCCAAACAAAUGUGUUCCAAACUAAAUGGGACCAUUCAGGAAUUUGUUAGCAAGGCCUUAGAUGCGUACACGAAAGAAAGAGAAAAUCAAGAUUCAUUUUCUUAUUUUCAAGAAAAUCAAGAAACUGAAUCUUGGCCCAAAUUUGCUAUUUGGAGCAAUUUCAAGAAUCAAGAAAAUCAAGAUUUUAAAUCUUGGAAAUCUUAGUCCAAGAAACCGAAUCUUGCAGCUAAAGCGCAUUGGACCUCCGUUACGAGCAUCAACGAACCAAUUUCGGUAAGAGAUGGACUACAAGCCCAAGUUCUUGAAGGCAAGGCCCAAUAAGAUUAUUCCAAGCCCAACCAAAUAGGAUUAUUAUAUGUUAAAAUUUUUAGACUUUAAUUGUUUAAAUAUCUAGUUUAAAUAUCUAGUUUAAAUGAGAUUUUAAACUAGUUUAAUUGUUUAAAUAUCUAGUUUAAUUUUUAGACUUUAGGAUUAUUAUAUGUUAAAAUUCAGCCCAAGUAGCCCAUUAAAAUGCCUUGGCCGAAUUUCCCUCUUAAUUUAUUAAUUAGGUUUUUUUAAGUUUUCUUAAUGAGAUUAGGAAAUAGAUAGAAGGCCUAUUAAUAGGCAUAGUCGGCCACCCUAUUAAAUACAUUACCAUACAUUAAAUUUUCAGUUUUUGCUGAGUAUCAAAUUCUCAUAGAGUUUUCUCCAAGAAUUCUCUCUUGAGUUUCUUUAGAAGUAGUUUUAACAAUCUUUUUGAUUGUGGGAGCCAUCUUCAGCCUUCUUCUUGCCAUUGUUCUUCAUUGGAGGGGAGAUUAGAGCCGUUUGAUGGGAGUUGUGAAAUCUUUCAGGAUUUCAAGGCUUCUUAGGACUUUUCUUUAUUUUAUUGCUGUUCGUUUCUUUUAAUUUCUUUGUUGUUUGUGUCAAACUCAUUGAUUAAUCCUUUAAUUUCUUUGUUGUGAUUCCAGCUAUCAAAAUCUUCAAGGAUCUAUUCAGUGUUCUUAUUGGCAGCAAGAAGCGUUCAUUAAUUCCUCUUUCAAUUGAUCUUGUCUGCUGCACAUCCUAGAUUUUAUUCUUGCCGUCCAAACUCUAUCUUUUAUUCAAUCGAUUUGCUGCACUUUAACAUUAACUUGCUGUUUGUGAUUAUUCUUCUCAGAUUCAGAAGAUUGGGAUUUAAUUCAAUUUCAAAUCCGUGUUCUUUGCGUCCAAGAUUUGUAUUUCUUAAGAGCGUUUGUUUCUUGCUGUGCAUUGAUUGAUUUGGGGAUUUUAAUUUCAGAUCUAAUCGGAUUUAAUUUUAAUUCUCUGUUCGUUUUAGAUCUGACCGUCUAGAACUUCUGAUACGGGGUUACGCGCGGACCAAGAUCGAGUUGCCAAGUCACGAGAAACUCCUACGAAAAUCCUAAACAAUUAGAUCUGAAACGAAACAGAAAAUUAAAAGAUUAGAUUUUUAAAUUUUCAGAUCUAAAAUAAAAUCCCCAAAUCAGCAAAGAAUCAAAUUGAGAAUAGAAAUAAGUGUUAGGGUUCUUGAAACCCUCAAGGAGAUUGUGAUUCUGCCCAAUUGAACACCAAGAUAGUUUUCCCCAAAUUUCGACAAUCUAAUUUCACCCAAAAAGAGUAUGGAAAAACCCUAGAAAUUGGGGAUUUUUGGGCUGAUUCCUUAAGAUAGAAAAAGGCUGAAAACACAAUAAGAACAGAAAAUAGAUUAGAUAAUGAUUCAGCACAAGUAGAAAUAAAGAAAGAAUUGACAGUAAGAAAUUAAAAGAUAAGUCCUAAGAAGCCUUGAAAUCUCGAAAGAUCUCACAACUCCCUUCAAACGGCUCUAAUCUCCCCUCCAAAUAAUAUCAAUGGCAAGAAGAAGGUUGAAGAUGGCUCCCAGAAUCCCAAGAUUGUUAAAACAAAUUCUAAAGAAAACUCAAGAGAAAAAUCUUGGAGAAAACUCAAAGAAAAUUCUGCUCUCAACAAAUCUGAAAUUUUAAUAAUAAUGAUAAGUGUUUAACAAGGUGGACAGCCAUGCCUUUAAAUAGGCCUUAUAACUAGUCCUAAUCUAAUUAGAAAACUAAAAUAAAAAAAACUCCUAAUUAUUUUAAUAUGGAAAUUUGGUCAAAGGUCAUUUUAUCUAGGACUCUUGGACUGAAUAUUGACAUAAAAAUUUAAACUAAGUAAAUAAAUAAAUAAAUAAAAAUAAAAAUAAAACUUUACAACUUGGGCCACUUUGACAAUUUGGCCUGAUUUUCAACUAAGUAUGGAUGGAUUUCUUGAUUGGGCUGGGAAUUUGCUUAUUGGGCCUCGCCUUCAAGAAUUUGAGCUUUUGUGACUCGUAUCAUUCCCCCUUCCUCAAAAAGAUUCGUCCUCGAAUCUGAAAAAUCAAAUGAACUCGACUUUCCUCUAUCGAACGAGACUAAUGGCAAUUGAGUCCACUGAGAAGAAUAGCCAUGAGAUAGUAAAUAGCAACGGAAAUAAGCUUGUAGUCCAAUCAUAAGCAUAAUAAAACAGGUAUAACGCAUGUGAAUGGACAGAUUCAGAUUACCAUGCAAACAAUCUAAUUUACUCACCACUGCCUCGUCAAAUAUUUGAAACAAAGAUGGACAUAUUUUAAGGCAUUCAGUCGUCUCACAUUGUUCCCACAAACCAUGAAUAAAUUGCGAAUAAUAAAUCAAAUGGUAAACAUAAUCAUCACAAGUAGGUAUUUGAAAAGAUUCACAUGGUUCACAGAGUUGCAUAAUCAUACCAUGCAUUAAUCGACGGUCUAUAGAUUCACUCACACAUGCAUUAUCAAAAACAAGAAUCUUUUUAUCAACCAUCAAAACAGAUAGAUCAUCAAUAAAUAAAAUAGGACAGUCAAGCACGUUUCGAUCUAAGUGUUCAUCAACACGAUCUUUAUCACUAUCCGAGGAGUACAAAAGUGUUUCAAAGGUUUCAAGCAUCUUACCUCGAUAAGCAGAAGAAUAAGGGUCGAUUUUACCUUUUUCAUUUAAAACAAACCUUCGCUCAUCGGGGGCAUAGUGUAGUCGAAUCUUCGUUGUUGAGUUAACGUUUGUCAAAUGGAACUCAAACUUCAUGUACAACCACAUAAACUGUUUAAGGCACGAAUAUAUUGAAAACAAAUUUGGAAAAUUUCGUUACCUUAUUCUCCAAAACAGAUUUGGAUAAAUUCAAGGAUUUUACACAAGGUAAAUCAAGAGAAUAACAAAUCACGCUUCUUUUCGUAAUGACUUUAUCAACCACAAUCGAAGAGUAACAAUUAAUCGAAUCAAAAUGAGGGGAUCUUUUAAGAACUAAGUCACCAAAAGUUUUAUCAAUAAUUUUCAAAUCUGCACUGGACUCGGUUUCUAAAAUUUCCUUACCUCGCUUACCUUCGGGAUCAUGUAGUGUGAUUUCAUCUUUACUUAAGUUGAUCGUAUGAAAGCGUCUUUCAUUUGAGAGGUAUUGAAGUUGAAAGUUAUCUUUCAAUCUUUCGGGAACCUGAAAAGUAGCAACACAAGAAAAAUUCAUAUCUUGGUUAGUGGAAACAUUCCUCACUACCCUUUCCACGUCUUUUUCUUUUGUUUCUUUUUCUAAUUCAUUUUCUCUUCUUUCUUCAAUUUCUUUUUCACUCUCAAUCUCUUUUUGCUCUUUUUCAUUCUCUUUCUCUUUUUCCUCACUUGUUUUAACAGAAUUUUUCAGUUUGAUUUGGUCCUCAUGGACUUGUUCCAGAGUGAGCGGCACUAAGGUGAGUUUCUUUCCUUGAUGCUUGAAAGAAUACCUAUUGGUACGACCAUCGUGAGUGACUUUUCGAUCCAGUUGCCACGGUUCUCCUAGCAACAAAUGGCAGGCUUGAAUAGGCAUUACGUCGCACACAACUUCGUCUUGAUACUUACCGAUAGAAAAGGCGAUGCGCACUUGUUGAGUGACCUUAUAUUGGCCUUCGUUGCUAAGCCCUUGUAGUUGAUAAGGUUGUGGAUGCUUGGUAGUGGUUAAGCAACCUUUUCCACCAUCGUUGUGCUGGCUAUGUUCGAGCAACUUUCACCAUCAAUAAUAACUCUACAAAGCUUACCUUGUACGUGGCAGCGAGUAUGAAAGAGAUGUUCUCGUUGCUGCUCGCUCUUUGGUUUUGCCAAAGAUGAUUGUCCAUGAUCAUGACAAUCAUCAUCCAUUCUAGGGACACGUUGAGGGUUGCGCCUAUGGGGCUGGUUAUUCCUAUCUUCUUUGAUUGGAUUUCGAUAUUGAGGUUCUUGAUUCAAUUGCACCUCAUUGAUGGUAGUAGUCAAAGCUCGAAGGGUAGCAUUUAUUUGUGUGAUUGCAGCAGCGUGUCCUUCUAACUGUUGUUGGACUUCCAUAAGUGUAUCAUUAUGGUCAUCUUUAGACAUCUUCCAAAAAAGCUGCAAAAAUAAACACUCAACACUCAAAAAUAAAAGUUAGCAAACCUCACCGUUAAUCACUCAAAAAGAAAAUUCAAAUUCUCAAUGAGGUAGAAUUCAAUCUUAUGAGUUCUUUAUCAAAGUUUAUAUCAACCAAUUAGAGAGUGGAUGAACCGAUCUACCAAAGAAUCCUAAUGUGCACUAGGAUGCCAAAAACUGACGAGACACCAAUUGAUUCAUGUUGCACCGAGGAAGAAUUGGGCACACGUUUAAAUCCUACUAACACAAAAAACAAGAAGGUGUUAGAUAUUGUAAAGGGAGAAUAAAAAGCAAACAAAUGAAAACAUACAGCUAAGAAUCAAUAAAAAUUGUUGAAAAUAGAAAACCCGAAAAACUGCGGAGUAACUUGACAACUUCGUUCGAGGUGUUCCCGAUAUCAAAAAAUCACAAAAUUAAAUCUGGAAUGUCUUCAAAUAAUUAAUUUUUGAUCUGGAAAAUUUGGGCACCAAAUUCAACCCGCUGAAUAUUUUUUUAAUUUUUAUUGGAUUUCGUCUUUUUUCAAUUUUUUAACUUUUUCGACUUAUUUAUUUGUGGGAAAUAUUUUUGUAUAUUCAAUAACAGUGCCAAAAAUAUGUAUGUAAAAUUUCAGAUCAAUCAGAAAAUGUUUACCCACUCAAAUGAAUUUUUUUCGAAAAUUUUUCUGGGUAAAACUGCUGUUUGUAAUUUAAAAAAUAGAGAUCAGUUUAGAAAUCAACCAAGAACACCCAAAACGCCCAAAAUCUGAUACCAAAUGAUACGGGGUUACGCGCGGACCAAGAUCGAGUUGCCAAGUCACGAGAAACUCCUACGAAAACCCUAAACAAUUAGAUCUGAAACGAAACAGAAAAUUAAAAGAUUAGAUUUUUGAAUUUUCAGAUCUGAAAUAAAAUCUCCAAAUCAGCAAAGAAUCAAAUUGAGAAUAGAAAUAAGUGUUAGGGUUCUUGAAACCCUCAAGGAGAUUGUGAUUCUGCCCAAUUGAACACCAAGAUAGUUUUCCCCAAAUUUCGACAAUCUAAUUUCACCCAAAAAGAGUAUGGAAAAACCCUAGAAAUUGGGGAUUUUUGGGCUGAUUCCUUAAGAUAGAAAAAGGCUGAAAACACAAUAAGAACAGAAAAUAGAUUAGAUAAUGAUUCAGCACAAGUAGAAAUAAAGAAAGAAUUGACAGUAAGAAAUUAAAAGAUAAGUCCUAAGAAGCCUUGAAAUCUCGAAAGAUCUCACAACUCCCUUCAAACGGCUCUAAUCUCCCCUCCAAAGAAUAUCAAUGGCAAUAAGAAGGUUGAAGAUUGCUCCCACAAUCACAAGAUUGUUAAAACAACUUCUAAAGAAAACUCAAGAGAGAAAUCUUGGAGAAAACUCAAAGAAAAUUCUGCUCUCAACAAAUCUGAAAUUUUAAUAAUAAUGAUAAGUGUUUAACAAGGUGGACAGCCAUGCCUUUAAAUAGGCCUUAUAACUAGUCCUAAUCUAAUUAGAAAACUAAAAUAAUAAAAAAACUCCUAAUUAUUUUAAUAUGGAAAUUUGGUCAAAGGUCAUUUUAUCUGGGACUCUUGGACUGAAUAUUGACAUAAAAAUUUAAACUAAGUAAAUAAAUAAAUAAAUAAAUAAAAAUAAAAAUAAAACUUUACAACUUGGGCCACUUUGACAAUUUGGCCUGAUUUUCAACUAAGUAUGGAUGGAUUUCUUGAUUGGGCUGGGAAUUUGCUUAUUGGGCCUCACCUUCAAGAAUUUGGGCUUUUGUGACUCGUAUCAACUUCGUAGGAGUUUCUCGUGACUUGGUAACUCGAUCUUGGUCCACGCACAACCCCUAUCAGGUUUGGUGGGACCAACUUACGACUAGCUGAAGACGAAAUGGUGAGCGUCCUAUCCAAACAUGGACCGAGAUGAAGGCUGUAAUGCGACGACAUUUUACUCCUUCAUACUACCAUCGAGAGUUGUACCAAAAACUCCAAAAUCUUCCAUAAGGAACGAGGAGUGUGGAGGAUUACUAUAAAGAAAUGGAAGUGGCUAUGAUACGUGCGGAUGUGCAAGAAGACUGUGAGGCCACCAUGGCAUGAUUUUUUGCAAGAUUGAAUCGGGACAUAGCCAAUGUUGUCGAAUUGCAACAUUAUGUGGAGAUCAUCGAUAUGGUUCACAUGGCGAUCAAAGUCGAAAAGCAACUCAAGAUGAAAGGAGCCGUACGUGGUUACUCCUCUUCGAGUGCAUCCAAAUUGACACGAGUCAUAAAGGCCCAACUCAAGCUUAAGAACGUGAUGGACUCAAAUUACCGCAAGGCCCAAUAACGAGGUCAAAGGCCAGACAAAUGCGUUCAAAACUAAAUGGAACCAUUCAAGAAUUUAUUAGCAAGGCCUUAGAUGCGUACACGAAGGAAAAAGAAAAUCAAUAUUCACUUUCUUGUUUUCAAGAAAAUCAAGAAACCGAAUCUUGGUCCAAUUUUGCUGUUUUGAGCGAUUCCAAGAAUCAAGAAAAUCAAGAUUUCAAAUCUUGGAAAUCUUGGUCCAAGAAACCGAAUCUUGCAACGAAGGCGCAUUGGAUCUCCGUUACAAGCAUCAACGAACCAAUUUCGAUAGGAAACAGACUACAAGCCCAAGUUCUUGAAGGUAAGGCCCAAUAAGAUGUCCAAGCCCAAAUCAAGAAAGUUAAAUGAGACUUAGUUCAAAAUUAGGCCAAAUUGUCAAAGUGGCCCAAUUUGUAAAAUUUUAAUUCUUUAAAUACCUAGUUUAAUUUUUAGACUUUAGGAUUACUAUAUAUGUAAAAAUUCAGCCCAACCAGCCCAUUAAAGAAUACAUUAGGUUUUUUUUAGUUUUCCUAAUGAGAUUAGAAAAUUAGAUAGAAGGCCUAUAAAUAGGCAUGGACGGCCACAUUGUUACACAACUUAGAGAAUACAUUGAAAUCAGAUUGCUUUUGUUUGCAAAUUCUCUUGAGUUUUUUCUUCAAGAAUUUUCUCUUGAAUUUUCUUUAGAAGUAGUUUUAACAAUCUUUUUUAUUGUGGGAGCCAUCUUCAACCUUUUUCUUGCCAUUGUUCUUCAUUGGAGGGGAGAUUAGAGCCAUUUGAAGGGAGUUGUGAAAUCUUUCGGGAUUUCAAGGCUUCUUAGGACUUUAUCUUUAUUUUCUUGCUAUUCAAUCUCUUUUUAAUUUCUGCUUAUGUCGAUUUCAUUAUCUAACUUGUUUAAGAUUUCUUGUUGCGUUUCCAGCCUUCUUCAACAUUAAAGAAACUGAUCGAAACCCUUCUUGGCAGUAAGAAUCGAUCAUUAAUUCAUCUUUCCAUUGAUCUUGCCCGUCUAUUCAUCACAAUUCUGAUUAAAUUCGGUUUGUUGGAAUUUGGAGUUUGAUUUGCUGUUUUGGAUGUUAAUCUUUUCAGAUUCAGUUUGGGAAGCUCAUAAUCGUGAUGUUACACACCAAGGCAAGCUUAAUAGAUACUCUCUUGUGUUUAAAGGCCAAAAAUUCACUCUUGCUCCUUUAAAUCCCAGUGAUGUAUAUAAAGAUCAAUUAAAAAUGAUGAAAUUUUGUGAGGGAGUAUGAUACGAGUCACAAAAGCCCAAAUUCUUGAAGGCGAGGCCCAAUAAGCAAAUUCCCAGCCCAAUCAAGAAAUCCAUCCAUACUUAGUUGAAAAUCAGGUCAAAUUGUCAAAGUGGCCCAAGUUGUAAAGUUUUAUUUUUAUUUUUAUUUAUUUACUUACUUAGUUUAAAUUUUUAUGUCAAUAUUCAGUCCAAGAGUCCCAGAUAAAAUGACCUUUGACCAAAUUUCCAUAUUAAAAUAAUUAGGAGUUUUUUUUAUUUUAGUUUUCUAAUUAGAUUAGGACUAGUUAUAAGGCCUAUUUAAAGGCAUGGCUGUCCACCUUGUUAAACACUUAUCAUUAUUAUUAAAAUUUCAGAUUUGUUGAGAGCAGAAUUUUCUUUGAGUUUUCUCCAAGAUUUCUCUCUUGAGUUUUCUUUAGAAGUUGUUUUAACAAUCUUGUGAUUGUGGGAGCCAUCUUCAACCUUCUUCUUGCCAUUGAUAUUCUUUGGAGGGGAGAUUAGAGCCGUUUGAAGGGAGUUGUGAGAUCUUUCGAGAUUUCAAGGCUUCUUAGGACUUAUCUUUUAAUUUCUUACUGUCAAUUCUUUCUUUAUUUCUACUUGUGCUGAAUCAUUAUCUAAUCUAUUUUCUGUUCUUAUUGUGUUUUCAGCCUUUUUCUAUCUUAAGGAAUCAGCCCAAAAAUCCCCAAUUUCUAGGGUUUUUCCAUACUCUUUUUGGGUGAAAUUAGAUUGUCGAAAUUUAGGGAAAACUAUCUUGGUGUUCAAUUGGGCAGAAUCACAAUCUCCUUGAGGGUUUCAAGAACCCUAACACUUAUUUCUAUUCUUUUAUUGAUUCUUAGCUGUAGGUUUUCAUUUGUUUGCUUUUUAUUAUCCUUUUAAAAUAUAUAACACCUUCUUGUUUCUUGUGUUGUAGGAUUUAAACGUGUGCACAAUCCUUCCUCGGUGCAACACGAAUCACUUGGUGUCUCGUCAGUUUUUGGCAUCCUAGUGCAAAUUAGGAUUCUUUGGUAGUUUGGUUCACACUCUCUAAUUGGUUGAUAUAAACUCUGAUAAAGAACUCACAAGAUUGAAUUCAACCUCAUUGAGAAUUUGAUUUUUCUUUUUGAGUGAUUAAUGGUGAGGUUUGCUAACUUUUAUUUUUGAGUGUUGAGUGUUUAUUUUUUACAGGUUUUGAAGAUGUCUAAAGGUGAUAAUAAUGAUGCACUUAUGAAAGUCCAACAACAGUUAGACAGACAUACUGCUGCAAUUACACAAAUAAAUGCUACACUUCAAGCAUUGAAUACUACUUUGAAUGAGGUACGAGUGAAUCAAAAACAUCAAUAUCGAGAUCCAAUUAAGGAAGAUAGGGAUAACCAACCCCAUAGGUGCAACCCUCAACGUGUCCCUAGAAUGGAUGAUGAUUGUCAUGAUCAUGGACAAUCAUCUUUGGCAAAACCAAAGAGCGAGCAGCAACGAGAACAUCUCUUUCAUACUCGCUGCCACGUACAAGGUAAGCUUUGUAGAGUGAUGGUGAAAGUUGCUCGAACAUAGCCAGCACGACGAUGGUGGAAAAGCUUUGCUUAACCACUACCAAGCAUCCACAACCUUAUCAACUACAAGGGCUUAGCAACGAAGGCCAAUUUAGGGUCACUCAACAAGUGCGCAUUGCCUUUUCUAUCGGUAAGUAUAAAGACGAAGUUGUGUGCGACGUAAUGCCUAUUCAAGCCUGCCAUUUGUUGCUAGGAGAACCGUGGCAACUGGAUCGAAAAGUCACUCACGAUGGUCGUACCAAUAGGUAUUCUUUCAAGCAUCAAGGAAAGAAACUCACCUUAGUGCCGCUCACUCUGGAACAAGUCCAUGAGGACCAAAUCAAACUGAAAAAUUCUGUUAAAACAAGUGAGGAAAAAGAAAAAGAGAAUGAAAAAGAGCAAAAAGAGAUUGAGAGUGAAAAAGAAAUUGAAGAAAGAAGAGAAAAUGAAUUAGAAAAAGAAACAAAAGAAAAAGACGUGGACAGGGUAGUGAGGAAUGUUUCCACUAACCAAGAUAUGAAUUUUUCUUGUGUUGCUACUUUUCAGGUUCCCGAAAGAUCGAAAGAUAACUUUCAACUUCAAUACCUCUCAAAUGAAAGACGCUUUCAUACGAUCAACUUAAGCAAAGAUGAAAUCACACUACAUGAUCCCGAAGGUAAGCGAGGUAAGGAAAUUUUAGAAACCGAGUCCAGUGCAGAUUUGAAAAUUAUUGAUAAAACUUUUGCUGACUUAGUUCUUAAAAGAUCCCCUCAUUUUGAUCCGAUUAAUUGUUACUCUUUGAUUGUGGUUGAUAAAGUCAUUACGAAAAGAAGCGUGAUUUGUUAUUCUCUUGAUUUACCUUGUGUAAAAUCCUGGAAUUUGUCCAAAUCUGUUUUGGAGAAUAAGGUAACAAAAUUUUCCAAAUUUGUUUUCAAUUUAUAUUCGUGCCUUAAACAGUUUAUGUGGUUGUACAUGAAGUUUGAGUUCCAUUUGACAAACGUUAACUCAACAACGAAGAUUCGACUACACUAUGCCCCCGAUGAGCGAAGUUUUGUUUUAAAUGAAAAAGGUAAAAUUGACUCUUAUUCUUCUGCUUAUCGAGGUAAGAUGCUUGAAACCUUUGAAACACUUUUGUACUCCUCGGAUAGUGAUAAAGAUCGUGUUGAUGAACACUUAGAUCGAAACGUGCUUGACUGUCCUAUUUUAUUUAUUGAAGAUCUAUCUGUUUUGAUGGUUGAUAAAAAGAUUCUUGUUUUUGAUAAUGCAUGUGUGAGUGAAUCUAUAGACCGUCGAUUAAUGCAUGGUAUGAUUAUGCAACUCUGUGAACCAUGUGAAUCUUUUCAAAUACCUACUUGUGACGAUUAUGUUUACCAUUUGAUUUAUUACUCGCAAUUUAUUCAUGGUUUGUGGGAACAAUGUGAGACGACUGAAUGCCUUAAAACAUGUCCAUCUUUGUUUCAAAUAUUUGACGAGGCAGUGGUGAGUAAAUUAGAUUGUUUGCAUGGUAAUCUGAAUCUGUCCAUUCACAUGCGUUAUACCUGUUCUAUUAUGCUUAUGAUUGGACUACAAGCUUAUUUCCGUUGCUAUUUACUAUCUCAUGGCUAUUCUUCUCAGUGGACUCAAUUGCCAUUAGUCCCGUUCGAUAGAGGAAAGUCGAGUUCAUUUGAUUUUUCAGAUUCGAGGAUGAAUCUUUUUGAGGAAGGGGGGAAUGAUACGAGUCACAAAAGCCCAAAUUCUUGAAGGCGAGGCCCAAUAAGCAAAUUCCCAGCCCAAUCAAGAAAUCCAUCCAUACUUAGUUGAAAAUCAGGCCAAAUUGUCAAAGUGGCCCAAGUUGUAAAGUUUUGUUUUUAUUUUUAUUUAUUUACUUACUUAGUUUAAAUUUUUAUGUCAAUAUUCAGUCCAAGAGUCCCAGAUAAAAUGACCUUUGACCAAAUUUCCAUAUUAAAAUAAUUAGGAGUUUUUUUUAUUUUAGUUUUCUAAUUAGAUUAGGACUAGUUAUAAGGCCUAUUUAAAGGCAUGGCUGUCCACCUUGUUAAACAUUUAUCAUUAUUAUUAAAAUUUUAGAUUUGUUGAGAGCAGAAUUUUUUUGAGUUUUCUCUAAGAUUUCUCUCUUGAGUUUUCUUUAGAAGUUGUUUUAACAAUCUUGUGAUUGUGGGAGCCAUCUUCAACCUUCUUCUUGCCAUUGAUAUUCUUUAGAGGGGAGAUUAGAGCCGUUUGAAGGGAGUUGUGAGAUCUUUCGAGAUUUCAAGGCUUCUUAAGACUUAUAUUUUAAUUUCUUACUGUCAAUUCUUUCUUUAUUUCUACUUGUGCUGAAUCAUUAUCUAAUCUAUUUUCUGUUCUUAUUGUGUUUUCAGCCUUUUUCUAUCUUAAGGAAUCAGCCCAAAAAUCCCCAAUUUCUAGGGUUUUUCCAUACUCUUUUUGGGUGAAAUUAGAUUGUCGAAAUUUGGGGAAAACUAUCUUGGUGUUCAAUUGGGCAGAAUCACAAUCUCCUUGAGGGUUUCAAGAACCCUAACACUUAUUUCUAUUCUCAAUUUGAUUCUUUGCUGAUUUGGGGAUUUUAUUUCAGAUCUGGAAAUUCAAAGUUCUAAUCUUUUAAUUUUUCUGUUUCAUUUCGGAUCUGAUUGUUUAGGAUUUUCGUAGGAGUUUCCCGUGACUUGGCAACUCGACUUGGUCCGCGCGCAACCCCGUAUCAGAGUAAGGGAGAAAGGACAAAUACAAAAGAUAUAGAGAAAAGAGGCUAGUAGUGAAAAAAGUCAAAAUCUAAAUAGCCCAAAGGUGAGUGAAUCCGCAAGUGGUAAAAUGAGAGUGAAAAAUUUGAUGGCAACAAAAAAAGAUGUGCGGAGAGCCCUACUCAAUAAACAGCCUUGUAUCCUUGUGAGGUUUAGGCAAAACUAUUUAUCUUUAUCUAACACUAACGAAAAUUUGCCUAGUGUGUUUCAAUGUUUUUUGCAGGAUUAUGAGGAUGUUUUUAGUAAGACCCCUAAAGGUUUACCACCUUUACGUGGGAUAGAACACUUCCAUUGGCCACAUACGAAAGAUAACUUUCAACUUCAAUACCUUUUCGAUGAAAGACGCUUUCAGACGAUCAACAUAGGCAAGGUUGAAGAUGAAAUCACACUACAUGAGCCUGAAGGUAAGCGAGGUAAGGAAUUUUUAGCAACUGAGUCCCGUGCAGAUUUGAAAAUUAUUGAUAAAACUUUUGAUGACUUAGUUCUUAAAAGAUCCCUUCAUUUUAAUCCGAUUAAUUGUUAUUCUUCGAUUGUGGUUGAUAAAGUCAUUACGAAAGGAAGCGUGAGUUGUUAUUCUCUUGAUUUGCCUUAUGUAAAAUCCUCGAAUUUGUGCAAAUCUGUUAUGGUGAAUAAGGUAACGAAAUUUGCCAAGUUUGUUUUCAAUUUAUAUUUGUGCCUUAAACAGUUUAUGUGGUUGUACAUGAAGUUUGAGUUCCAUUUGACAAAGGUUAACUCAACAACGGAGCUUCGAAUACACUAUGCCCCUGAUGAGCGAAGGUUUGUUUUAAAUGAAAAAGGUAAAAUCGACCCUUAUUCUUCUACUUAUCAAGGUAAGAUGCUUGAAACCUUUGAAACACUUUUGUACUUUUCGGAUAGUGAUAAAGAUCGUGUUGAUGAACACUUAGAUCGAAACGUGCUUGACUGUCCUAUUUUAUUUAUUGAUGAUCUA